CUGUGGAGGGAAUUAGCUAGAAGCUGCUGUAGAUGUAACUUGUUUUCAGGGGAACUAAUGGCAAUUUGCAAGUAUGCGUUGUUCGUCUGAAAUGCUGUUCUCAUGGUGAUAUCAAAUUCUCCCCCAGUUCUAUGCUCUUCAUGGGGCCAGAGCACAGAAACAUCAUGAAGAUAAACAUGCCAACCUGGGCUUGAAUCCCUCUGUCUCUCUCAUUGCGGGCGCACGCCCGCCUGCCUCUGGUUUGAACUGUUUAUUUUUGUGACUUUCCUGCCAUUACAUUGCCUUUCGUUGUAUCAUUUACGGCAACGAUCCUUUGCUACAUUACGGUCCUCAUCUUGCAAGUUCCGUUCUCGCUCCCGCGAGGCGAAGUGAAUAAUACCAUCGACCGUCUCCUCAACCCGCUGUGCCGCCCGGAGGUUCUUGAAUCUUUGCUAAUUGUGCCGACCGAGCAGGUUAUGAAUGUGGUGGGUUGACCGUAGUACAUUAUAGGAGAGGUCUAGUCCAUGAUGUCAAGUCGAUCUGCUGUGUUCCUCUAUUAUUUGUGACAGAGAUCAUGCGUUUGUGUUGGGCAAUGAAGGGUUUAUCUUUUAAACAGAGAACACGGAAUACAAAAGCCGAGAGUUUUUAUCUAUCUAAAAUGUUAGAAACAUAUAUGUACAAGCCUAUAGAUAAGUUGAUAUCGUUCUUAAAUAUAGUUAUGAAAAUACUUAGAUAACUCGAUACAAUUUGAAAUGAGGUUUUAUUUUUACUACCAUACUUAUUGUUGAAAAGAUAUCUUAAAAUCCGGAUAAUAGUGUAAUUUUGAAUAUUCGUGAAAUAGUUUCGAAGAAUUGAUUUGGCAUUGUUAUAGAAAGUUGACAAUGAGACUUGGAGAGUUUUGAGGAAUAGAUUGUGCAUUUCUCAGUUAGUUAGGGAUUGGAUGAAUAUUUCAUAAUCGUUCAAGGGCUUGUGGUGACUUUCUCCUUGUUUGAUGAAAUUUGUAAUCAAAUAUUUAGAAAUAAAUCAAGGACCGAAUUAAAUGAACUAAAAAUUAUUACACAUCAUACUAAAUUUCAUGAACUAUUAAGGAAUACAGGAUUUGAUUAUUUGCGAUAUCUUUAGGACUCAUUUAUAAAUUAAAGUAAAUAAUUCUUGAUUGAGCUUCGAUCAAGUAUAAAUUAUUUUAUUUUUAGCUUAACCCAAACUUAUUUAAGAAAUUUGUAGAGAUUCAAUUUGGUCGAUUAAUCUCCGAAAACAGAUGCCCAUGAAAAAAAAGAAGGGAUUCCAUUUUUAUUUAAAGCACAAAGCCUCAUUAACUCAAAAGAAUAAAAAUAUUUGCGCAGAAUUGUUAUAUAGAUUGAAAAAUCAGUAGGAAACUGUCGCCCAAUUUAUCCGUUUUUUCAGGAAUCCGCUCUAAAUAAUAAAGAGAAGAUCCGACGGCAGAAAAGCGGGUCCGACCCUGGGGAUGGCCGAGCCACCGUCCGAUUCCCCGAGUCAGCUGACGGCCGUCGUCGGUCUCCUCGAAUCGAUCGAUCUCGGCGCGACACGGCAUCGCCACCCGCCGGACGCCGCCGCGCUCGUCGCCGGACUGUCCCGGUGCAUCCGCGCAGCCGAUCCCGAGCUCAGCCUCCCCUUGCCUGAAACUCUAACUCAAGAUAACAUCAGGCAAUCUCUCUCUCUCUCUCUCUCUCUCUCUACGGUGCGCGCAUUGCUUCUUGUAUUUCCAGUUUGAUUUACAGCUCCCUCUGUCGACAUUCAUGGCGAGAGAUGGAAGAAAGGACGUUUCUUUGUUUGAUCCGUUCGUUCGUUUAGUGGGUUGAUCAUUGAUGGCAGUGACGCUACAUGGGUUGGUGAACCCUCUUGAGUUUCACGUCAUAUCACUGCUCAGAAUGAAGUUUGCGCCCUGUGUUCUGAGGUUGUUUGAUUGUUAGACAGCAUGCAUUCCUUUCUUUGAUAUGAGUUCUGAGGAAAGCUUGAGUCUUGACCAAUGGCUGCUUGGGGUAUUUUGCCAAAAAUCCUGUCUUUCUUGCCCAAGUAAAUUAGUUUCUUUUUAGGGAGUCGCCUCGAUGUAGUUUAUGUUGCCCUCCGUUUACAAUUAUGUCACAGGGUAAAUGGGUAUUCAGAUUGAACUUUUUCCGGUUGCAUUUAUGGCUUCUGUUAUUGCUAUUCAGGGAAGUGAGUCAUGGUGUCGAAGAAGCUUUAAAAUUGUUAAACUGCCCGCACCCUCUGCAAGCUUCGGACAUUUACAGUCUUGAAGUCGGAAGCGUGUAUCCUGUUGCACGGUGGCUUGUCAAUCAUGUUCAGACGCGCGUUGGAGUUACGGGGGAUGAGGUGAGUUUGGCUAAUUGGUGUGGUGCCAUGGUUCUGAACUAGUUCUGCGUCUUCACAUGCUAAUGUGGCUUCUUUUCUGUUGUAAAUUGAAUCACUCUUGCUACUAAGAUCAUGCCAUCUUUGCUAUAGAGACACCCAUACUACUCACACCGGACUUUUUGCUAAAGAUCAGGAGAAUACUCUUUGGCAGCUUGAUGGUGGAUUAGGUGAUGCAAGAACAGUCUAGAUACAGUGAUCCAGAGGAAAAGGUUAGUGAGAGGAUAUAACGGUUGGAGCUCAUUAAUUCGGAUUCAUGCAAGAGAUUAACACUUAUUUAGGAGUACUUUCUUGAAAAGGCAGAAGCUCUUUUCUCUGUUUCCAUGGUAGCUAGAUUCAUCUGGUGGUAACUUUAGUUUUCUUCUUCUCCUGGCCAGAAGCUGAUGAGAAUGCAUAUUUUAGAAGAGAUGCAACUCUUACACGAGAAAAUCAGGGCAGCAAAAGUCGAUUCUGUGGUUCACCGAUUAAUGUUGCUCAUGAAGUCACUGAAGGUGGAUAUUCUCCCUCUACUAUGUGGACAUGUCUCUAAACCAUUUUUUGAUGCUAAUGCAUUUUUUCCUGGACCAACUGCUAAUUUAGCCUCGAAUCAAUGUCAAUUUUCAUUUUCUGGGGUUUGGCCAGCAUGUGGAUGUCCUUCCAUAUUCUCUCAUGAUCCAUCAUGUGUAGAUCCUUAUUUUUACCUUUUUUUCCCCAAUAGUCUUUUGCUCCCAUUUUUACAUUUACGUAAUGGGAAUGGCUGCAGGUCUUGGAAAAGAAAGAAUUGGAUUGCCAUUCUAAUCACACUGCAAAGAAAUCAGAUUUGGAAGCCAAGAUUAUUCACUUGGAGGAGAAAAUAUCCAACAACUGUGAUAGCAAGAGUCUCCAUGAUGAUUUAGACCAUUGUAUUAGCAUAUCACUGGAAAAGUUGCACCUUGCGAAGAAGGUAUUGGGUCUUAUUAUUACCCUUGAGGACUUAUGUCAUCUGAUUGUAUAUUUUGGUCCACUGCCAGAAUGUCACCAAUCCAUAAUUUCUGCAUAUAUCUGAUCAACACUUUUUUUUUUGGGUCGCUCAUCAACAUGUUUGAGUCAUGGUGAUUAGUCAAUGAUUGAGCACAAUAGAGGCUAGUCAAUGGUAAUCCAUCAUGAUGGUCCAUAUAUGAAUUGAAAUGUACUGCAGGUCCGAAUCACAAUGAUAGCAAUAUAAGGAUCUUGUUGAGAACAGGUAGUUUUUGCUGGGAUUCUGAUGUCCUUUAUUUCUAUGUCAGCCAAGGAGUUUUUAUUACUGUGUGUUCAUGUUCAUAUUUUCUGCGAAAGAAUUUUGGCUGAUGCUUUCUUCUACCAUCCCUUUGUAACUUGUAUGGAUUAUAAUGAGCAGAAACAUAAUGGAAGUUCUCCUCUUGGGGGCCCUUUCUUUAGUUCAAUGGAUGGGACAAAUAGUGUUUGAGAUGAAUUGCUAAUUAGCUAGUGCAAUUCACUGCUUAUCCUCUCUGCUUGUUGUGAACUCAAUUUGGUCUACCUUUGGAAUUUGACAUUGGAUGGCUCUAAUUUAAUCUCGUCCUGUCAUAAGAUUUUGGUCAAGAUCUCUUCUUUGAUUUUAUGUUCAUGUUGUUAUAACGGUGCAUGCAAAUUUUCUUACAAGACUGCAAUCUUUAUGAUUGAAGAAAAUAAUGGUGUAUCAAUUGGGUAAAAUUUGUCUUGCGAUUUUAAAUCUUUCAUGUUUUGAUUCUGAUGUCUAUCCAGUAAACUGCUGCCAUCGACCAAGUUGUAGCAUUUCUCUGUGUGUGCAGUAGAGCAAUUUAAUAUCCUUCGGCCUUGGGCCCAAUUUUGGCGGGCAACCUUUGAGUGCUGGAUUUUUUCAAGCGGAUAUUAUUUUUGUUAUGAUUUCUUUUGCAGAAUGCAAUACAAAUGACUUGCUGUUGCAUGCCUGAUUUUAUUUGGUCCAAAGAUAUAGCUUAGCUGUCAUACCUUUUGAGCAUAUUUUGUCCUGCAAUUCUCAUUUAUGGUGCAAUGUAUUCCUGAUGGUAGGACCUAGCGGCUAGACUGAGGAUGGUAUUGUCUGUAAAGCAGCAACUUGAAGAUGUGCCUUCACAAUCGGAACUCAUUCAGUAUGUUCUCUCUCUCCCUUGCCCUAAUUUUGUCUUUUAGAUUUCUCUAGAAUCUAUGAUGAACUGGUCUACUUUUAUCACCCAGAUUUUUCAAUUUUCUUUUGGCUCCUGAUUUCAUUGUCUUGAUUCCAUAGACUAGUUUGAUCAUUUCCUAGUCCUUACUCUGGUGCCCACAACAGGUAUUUCUUUACUGAGCAUUUGUAGUCUGUGUCAAAAUUAUAAUAUAGGUUAUAAAUUGAUAUAGUGUGUGCUGGUGCUCCAACACAUCUAGCCUUUUUCUCCUUAGUUGUUCUUUCCUGUCUAAUUGAAGAUCCAAACUCUAGUUUUCUUCAUGAGUGUAGUUAGUAAUGCUCUAACAUGAAAAUGGGAAUUAAGCUACGGGAUCCUGCACUGAUGAGACAUGUAGAUCAAACUACUGGCAGUGGUGGGAUGAAAUGCUUAAAUUGAAUCAUCGACAGGCAUGCAUUGGAUUACCAACUAUCUAAAGAAAACAUUAAUCCCAACAAGUUAACUGAUCCUACCAGUAAGGGACCUUAAAAUUGUGAUUUAGACAUAAUCUAGGGAUGAAACUAUAGGAGUGAUGUGGGUUACAGGAAGUGCUUCAUAUAUAUUCACGUUAAAGGAUUCUGGAACUUUUAUUGACAAACAGACUUGCCUUAUGUCCAAUUAUUGUCAAGCUAAAAAACUAUUUUGCUGACAAAGUAGAAGAUGUGAGAGAUUUUGUGGAGAGGUUGCUCAAAUUUUUGAAAUUUUGUAAUAUCACUAUCAACUGUUUUAAAAGUUUAAACUAUUAGAUGAAAGAAUGAUUGGUUUACUAUCAUAACUCUAACAUUACCACUUUUUCAUACUCUUAAAAUUUAUGAUUUUUUAUGUCUACAUCUGCACUAUAGAUGUAGAUAUAAAAAAUCACAUACUUAUAUUAGGGGACAAAAAUGGCCCCACUUAUUUUAAUGUCCGAAACAAAUAUCAUGAACCCUUACUCGAGGGUAUAAAAGGGCCAUCGUUGUAUUUUCCAUUCAAGCAAUCAUUCAUGGCAGAGAUGUGGUUAAUGAUGCUUAUGUGUCAUGCUGACUCGUCACUUUCUAUUUUUUUUUUUUUUUAUAAUUAAAUGUUAAAUAUUUUUUAAGCAAGAAAAUAAUUUUCACUUAACAUUAAAAGAAAAAAACCAGUUAACAUAGAAGAGGAGUGAGGGGAAGGGGGAGUGGCCAGUGGCAGUGGCCGACGCCAUCCUUGAGGUCGGCAUUGGCUGCAAUGACAUCUCUUGUUGACAUAAUUAGUUGACACCAUUGUCAUUUGGCCAUAGGACAGAGUAGUCAAAGGCGACUGCAGAGAGAGGUGCCAUUGGUGCUUGGGGUUGGGCGUAGAUGGAGGCUGAAUAAAUGACAGUUCUGCUUGAUAAAAUUUACAAACAAAUUGUAAGUGUCUGUUAAUGGAACAUUUGGAUUAUCAAGCUGAGACCACUCUUAACAGAACACUGGCACCCUAAUAGUCACCUCUUUGCUUGCCCUUGUACCCAUGGCAACCAUUCUGCUCCAUCAAUUGACUGCUCUCGUGACCUUUUUGCACUCAUCUAGAGCCAUUUUGAACCUCCCAGAUUUAGUUAUUCAUCAUAAAAUUAAGCCAAGCCAUUUUUGCGUGACAUGUUGCGGUUGACACUAGCCUCAAGGGUAGUAUCGACCACCGCUGCCAGCCCACCCCCUUCCCCNNNNNNNNNNNNNNNNNNNNNNNNNNNNNNNNNNNNNNNNNNNNNNNNNNNNNNNNNNNNNNNNNNNNNNNNNNNNNNNNNNNNNNNNNNNNNNNNNNNNNNNNNNNNNNNNNNNNNNNNNNNNNNNNNNNNNNNNNNNNNNNNNNNNNNNNNNNNNNNNNNNNNNNNNNNNNNNNNNNNNNNNNNNNNNNNNNNNNNNNNNNNNNNNNNNNNUACCAAAUUAAUUUUGUCUCUCAUUACAAUCUCGCCAGCAAUGCCAAACAUCAUAGGUUGUAAAAGAUUGUGUGGAACCACUGUCAAUAGUUCUAAAUGAUUAGAUUGUUGGAUGAAGGUGUGGUAUUAAUAUUUCAAGAAUUCAUCGCCCAUACUCGCGCAUAGGCUGGAUUUUGACACAACAUUAAAGCAUGUAAAUAUAUAGUAUGGGAAGUAAAUAAAGGCCUGGAAAGAUUUGAACUCAGAACUUGAUGUUCCGCUGCCAUUAAAGAUUUUAUGGAACUGUUGCUAACUGUUUUAAAAGUUUAAGCUGUUAAAUGACGGCAUGGUUUUAAUGUUUAAGUUCUUACAGGAGGAUUUUGGGCCUUCUCUUCUCCUCUUAAGUAUUUCUACUACUUGUUAACUUUAGAUAGUUGAUCCUGUUCACAUGAUGAUUUGUUUCCUAAUUCCCUCCUGAAACAAAUUUGCUGUGCUGGGCAUUGUUAAUGCGGUUUAAGUUUUAACUAUCAGAGUGGAUCAAUCUGGGUAUGGUUUAAGGGUAAACUUCUUCCCUCAGUAUGAGAGUAUGUUCUUUAGGGAUUGGUAAUCAAAGUGCUCUUUGCAGGUAUGAACGCCGCUUUUCCGAGUUGAAUAUGACUAUUGAGGUGAGGAGUUCAUUUUUUGAGGCGUUGCUUCUAUGUAUCUUGUACAUUAUAUUGGUAUAACUAUUCUUAGUGCUGACACUGCAAUUACAAUUCCUUUUGUUUGUUAAUUUACAGGAAAUUCAUAGACAAACACGUAAAUACUAUGCAACAUAUAAUGCACUUUUGGAGCUUAAAGAGCUAAUGCUGAAGGAAACAUCAUUAUUGAAUUCGCUAAAUUCCCAGGUAUAACAUAAUCACUUGAAGAUCUUGAUUAAUAUUUGUCAGUUCCCCCUCAUCUUCUGAAGUGCUCCCCAUGUCCUCUCCUGUAAUCAUUCUAUUUUACCAGCUAUCUUCUCUUCUUUCUUUGAGUCUCAUGACCGUUGCCUCAAGCAAGAAGUAUCUAGCUGCAGUGAAAUUCAUUUUGAAAGGGCUCAUGGGCCCCCACAGAUUUCCCUUUUAGCAAAACCCUUAAUUAGUAUUAGAAUUCUAAAGGAAGUUAUGACUGCAUAUACUGUGUUAGAAACUUCCAGUGAUGUUCCUCUUAAACAUGGUUUUACGUACUGUUUCUAAUGGUUUAUAUCACAAACAUGAGCUUUUGGUUGGUCAUCAACUUUUUAACAGUUUUAUCUUCCCUGAAACUAUAUUGUUUAUAAUUCCAUUCAGUUUCAAGAUGCCAUAAGUGAUACUGCUGGUCGCCUGAAACUUAUUGAUUCCAUGGAAGGAAUUCUGAAGGGCAUAAAACAGGUAACAUUAUAUACAAACUUUGUGCCUUCUCCUCCUCCGGCUUGGCUUAGAGUUAAUUUCACUGCAUGAAGUUGUGACACGGAUUAUACGGUCCUAUGUGCAAUUUUACGAACUAUACAUCAUUGCUGUAUCUUCAGCUAAGUGACAAUUGAACAAUUGGUCUUGUGCUGAAUGGUCUAUGGUUGUGUUUUCAGAAAAUAAAAGAGAUUGCUGUUGCCAUCUUUCAGUUGCAUUUUCUUGCUGGUUUAUUCUUGUCACCUCUCUUUAAACAUCUCUACACAUCUACGUCUUCUCUGUUUCCUGUAUAGGGUUGGAUGCCUUAUAUUUAAAAGAACAUAUUUGGGAUGUCAACAUACAUAAAUAGACAGUUUCUUGGUAGAACUUUUUCCAUCUAAUCUUUAGUGGGAAGAAAGAUAAUUGGUGCUAACAUGUUUCUUUUUAGUUUUGGUACUCUGUUCAUCGAUUGAUCUUUAUCCUUAUGUUCGUGUUUGGGUCUCUUAGAGCACCCAGCUAAUUGCGAUUGUUCGUCAAUUGACUUACACAUCUACUAAUACCACUUUCUCCAGUUACUACUUUUAUAUAUUUUCUGAUGCCCAUUGGGAGAGCUCUACGGGCGUGACGAAAGUUUUGAGAAAAUUUUUGAUAUCUUGGGUGUUGGAAGACUUUGGGUUGGCUGAGCCUGAGAUAUGUCAGUCUUAGACGCUUAAACUAUGUGUUGUAAAAUGAGGCCCGUGACAAACUUUCUCAAAAGCAUGGAGAAAGCUAUAAAUCAGUUUUAUUUCUUUUUUCCUUUAGCAGUUUUUUUGUAUUAGGCAGCACAGACAGAUUGUGUUGAUAUGCAGAAGCUACAGAAAGUGCAAGAGGGGAUCCAGGCUGAUCAGAGAGUCUGCAAUACACUCAGGGAGAAGUAUGCGGCAGCAGCAGCUAGUCAGAGACAUGGUUCUAGUCUGUUAAGAGCUCUUCAGGUAACCACUUGCGCCAGAACAGUAACUGACUGAAGUACACUGUUCUUCCUCAUCUUUGUGCCCACACUGAAAUGUGUUCUUAAAUAUAAGGAAGCCAAAUGUGUUCUGUUGUCAUAUGUAUAGAGUCGGAUCCCCUAGUCAGGGUUCUUGUGAUGAUGCUAUGGAAGGUUAUUACUGCCUUUUAGUUUUUAUGAGGUCAUUGUCUACAGUGGCAGACACUACAAACGAACAAUCUUUCUACAGACAUAUCCUUUUUUACCAUGGUUUUGCCCUAUCUUGGGACCUCUCUGUGAAGUUGACAUUAUAAAAUCACUUAGUCCCUUGUAGUUAAUUCACCUCUUUCUAGUGGGUCCAAGUAAUAUUGUAGCUCCAAAUAAAAGAGGAAAAGGUUCUUGACCUAGUGGCGUUCAGGGAUAAUUUGAUCUGUAUAGGAAGAGGGAUGCAGAUCAUCCAUUUUCUAGGGAGUCUCUUAAGGAUUUAAUGUUCAGGGUGCAAUCAAGUUAUAUCGCCACUUGUUUUAUAAUCUUCUAUCGACUGGGUAAUUGGCACUGACUAAUUUAAUUACAAUCUGAUCUCUCUUCUUUCUUACUGCUUAUUUAGAGAAAUCAUGGAAUAAAUGGCAUAUGUUUGAAAAAUUAGUAGAUCUUUUGGGAGGGAGUGAUGACAAAUAACCCUAUGGCAAAGAGAAAAUUUCUAUUCUCGCACGCGUUUUUCUUUUUAAAUUAUUGUCACCAAUCAAGACCAAUUCAUUGUGCGUAUCUUGUUUAUGUUAGUUGGGUUCUGUUCGAGUUUCCUAAUCCUUAGCUAUACAUUAGCUUAGUCUAUUACAUUGCUUCAAGAUCUUACGAUAGUUAAUUCACCCAAAGCCUAAAUUAAGACACCUGAUUUCCAGGAGGAAAUCGCGAGAAACCAGAGACUUAAGAGUGAACUUCGGUCCAGAAAUGCUGCUACACCAUGUGAAGUCGAGGUGAUAGGAAGUUUGUGAAGUUGUGGAACUAAUAUGAGGGUGCAGCUUUGGUCAAGAUGAUUCACGUGACCUGUGUACCACAUGCCUGCGUACGAAACUAGUAGUCUAUGCAAUGCAGGAUUGAGGCUACGUGCAUCUGGUCAUCCUGAGAUUCCUCAAUGUGGGGGCAUCAUGGAUUGGGGGUCCCAGUUAGCAUGUUCAGUUAAAUGAUUGCAGAUUAUAUGGAGCGACAUAAGUCUUUGGUUACUUUUGAUGUUAGGUCAAGGCCUUAAAUUGUCGUGUAUGGUUUUCAAAGCCAGCACAAAAGCCAUUUAUCGGGUUCUGAAUGAUGUAAAAUUAUCUGGAUACAACCUUUCUUACCUUUGAUAAUUAUAACAUGAUUAUUUUAGGACAUUUUUCUUUGCUUCCCCUAAUCUUUAUGCUAUAAUCCGUCUAAGAUGACUAUUUUUGGAUCGUCAUUUUCCUAGUCAUCUCUUCAACCAUUGGUCAACAUGAAUCUUCUGGUCUUUCUGAUAGUCAUGUCUUUUAUUCCAAACCGAGCUAAAUGAUAAGAAUAUCUUUACUUGUGAUGUCUUUUAGUAUAUGGGUUUUAAAUCUUUGUGGAUUUGCAUUGAUCUGAUAUUAUAUUACAUUUUGAAGAGGGUGCUAGCUAGCAAUUGAAUUUCUCAUGUCAAGACGGGGUGAUUUGUCCUAUUCUGAAAGAAAUAUCUUAUUGCAAAAGGGUUAAAGAGAUUGUUGUUCACUUGUCUUUGUACUAGAAAUUAUUAAGCCUGGUACAUCUGUUGCCUUUUGGCAUCAGGACAAUAGGGGCAACACUAACGACACUUAGCCUGACUUCCCAUCAUAUGCAUAUGUUUUCUUCUGUAGACACACUGUGAAUUGUGUGAGGGGACAUGCAAGUGCCAUGUUGCCCACCCUACGUGACAAAUGAAAAGAGAGCUUUUUCAUUGCAUUUUUAAUUUCCUUUUUUUGGCUGCAUAUUCUUUACUUAAUUUAGCUCAGAAGAACCGCAAUCCAUGCCAAGAUUAGUUCCUGUAUUGCACAUCAUCCUUUGAAAUGGUCAUUGAUUUAAGGAGCAAAGUGUUUUGUCCAUCAUUCACCAAUCAAGACCUACAGCUUCAUAAUAAACUGUGCUCAACAUAAUGGAGUAGUUAUUAGAGACAAUGAAAUCAUCCAUAUCUGAGCAAUAUGCCAAUCAUGGAUGAUAAGAAGUGCACCUUCUCUAGAUGCUGCUUUUUGAUGCUCUCGAAACUCCUUUACAAAGGACAAAUUUUGGGUGGGCCACGGAAUUAGGCAAAAAGAAAUAUUUAUAGCAUUUUCCCCUGACUCAGGGCAGACACAUGGGCAACUGGAGUCUUUUUAAUGACAUGUCAUUUUUUUAAGGUCUCCUUAGUUGUCAAUAAGUUAAAAGACUUUGGAAAUCCUCAGAAUAGGACGACAUAGCAUCACCUUUCCCCCACCACCAUAAAAUAAAGCAGAAUAUAAUAGAGUAAAAGAUAUGUAGAAGGGGGGCACAGAGCCAGAUACUUCCAAGCUCCCCAGAAAAGGACAAGAAAGAGGAGAGUACAAAGAAGAGCAAAACCUCUCUGAUCUUGGAAGAUGGGUUAGUAAGCAAGAACGAUACUAAGAAUGGGAAAAUGAGAAAGACUCAGUCGUCUUUAAUUUACAAAAGUUUAUCACAUCACUUGGUAUACCAAUUCACGAACCUAUGUUGGUGUGCUUGGCGUUAUUCCUGUCCCUUAACAUCAUAAGCUCGAUUCCACGGUUUCACGAGGUAUUAUCAAUUUUGGUAUUACUUAGUUCGGGGAAAUCUUAUUCAAGGGAAAUCUUAGAUUUACUCGCAUGAGAUAGAGCAAAAGGCUUGUUAGAGAAAUAAAAACAGAAGACAUGCAAUCAUAAGGUGAAGAGAACAAUAUUAUGACUUUAGAUCUUCUUUCAUUUCUUAUUCCACUCAAAAGGAAUGCUGAGUCCAUCUCCAAAAGGAAUAGAUUAAUGCAAUGGUAUUAUUAAUUAAUUUUCUCCAUCAUACUCCAUUAAAAACACAAUUUCAUAAGCUUUGGCCUAGGUUCCAAUCUCUUCCAUGGUUUAGAUACGAUCAACCGACACAACAUAAGAGAUCAAUCAUUCUAGUCACACAUCGCACAUGCUUCUCCUUUAACUCAGCGUACUAGAAACUUGUCACUUCACUUUGUACCAUGAUUAUCGCAAUGAGUUCUUGAACUUGCAUGGAAUUCGGCCACAAGAUAAGAUUGCCAUAGCAUGGAAUUCCAUAUUAAAGCGAGAAACUCCGUUUUUAUCAAGAUUCUUUUGGACUGAUGCUAAAGUUGGCAUGUUUUGGAGGUAUUCUACUUUCUGAUUUGAGCCUUCCAGGUGCUCACAGAACCCUCAAUUUGAUUAUUGGUGUUUAGCUUGCAAGGACAUGUCAAGAAAGAUAAGGUCAUAAAAAAAAACAACUAUUAUCUUCAUCAUUACAUCCCAAAGAAAAUUGGACUGCCUUACUGUUCACUGAACUUUAUGCAAACCCUCGUACAUGAAUUUAUAGUAAGACUCACUUUGAUUCGCUAAUUUGAUCAUUAAAAGAGAGUGUUUGGAAUGAAAUUGAAUCAAAUUAAUUUGAUUUAUUUUGUUAUAAUUUUUUCACACUAGAAAAUAAAUUGAACAUGAAUUUGAGAUUUAUCUUUUUCAUUAGCUUUUUCCAUCAAGUGUUAAAUCAUAUACAUUAACUUGAAGUGUAUAUUUAAUCUUUUGUUUGACUUACUACUUAUUAGAAUGUUAGGUAGAUUUCAAAUUGAAAUUUUGGUUGUUUAUUGCAUGCGUAAUUUAUUUGACCUAAAAAAAAAAAUAAUUAUAGCUUGCGUAAGUUGACCCAUGAUCCCCACAAAGUCCUAUGAAAGGACUUGUAGCCAGAGGAAGGUGAAGACAAGUUUGACUAUGCAGUCUUGUCUCGUUUCAAAUUUACGGCUUUUGACUUGUCGUGACAAUUAUCUUCUUUCUUUGCCCUCGUAUAUCGUCCCUCUUUUUUUUUGGAAUAAAUAAAUAAAAAAGUUGUUUGCCCACAAAAUUUGAAGGUUAAUAAAUAAUUUGUUAUCAUGACAUUUGAAUUUUGGACCUUAAUUAGUCUAGACUAUUUCCAAUAAAAUAUAAGCAAAUCAUUCCGUCACGAAUCAUUGAUUGAAGUUCACUCAUAAAAAAUGUGAGUAUGCACCCAAAAUUUCUCCGGUUGAGAAAUGCUUCGAUUUGAAUAUGGCAUUACCAUUUUCAAACAAAGUGUAGCCAAUCAAUUUGUGGAGGCUCAGUUGAUGCACCAAGGCUUUUAGUUAUUUGCCAUUCUUAAUGUUAGUUACCUUUGUUGUCUUUCUUGCAUAAGAUCAAGAAAAGAUGGCUGUGAUAAGGGUGAAAAUCACAUCGAAUCAACUCAGGAGCUAGACCACACUAGCAUGAAACCACUGGUUAGAGGCCUAGUAUAGGAAUAGCUGGUUUGGUUUCCUAGAACCGGUCUAGGACCGGCUCAAUCACCAAUUCCAAGGCGAGAACCACUAGUUCUACUUGGGAAUCAAUUCAACUAGUUCAAUUCCUAAAUUGGAUGAAUUCUAAACCAAUUUUGAAGUUUCGUUUAGAAAAAAAAAUUGAAACACAUCAAUAAUUGAGUCAUGAUUUUUAACAUGAGCAAAGAUGAUGAUCACUUGACCAACGAAUGCUACUGAAAUAAAAUGGUACAACUUGUGUGUAUGUGUGUGUGUGUGUCUCUCUCUAUAUAUAUAUCAUAAGAAUUUGCCUUUUUAAUUAAAGUGGGACGGUACCUGACCUUAAAAGGCGGUUCAAUCUGAUUGGAACGAGCACACAUCUGUCCAAAAAUCUCUUAAAGCGUGGCAAUCGCAUCUUUUUCAUCAUUCGCUGAUGCUUGACAAGAUAAAAAUGUGCUGACUACAGUGGCGGGGCAGAAAUUCCAAUCGCUGAACAAGAGGCUCUCUUUGUCUCAUUGUCACAUGGGUUAAGAAAGAUCCGAGCCCCAGCAUGAUAUCAAAACGUGUCCGACUGUUUCUUUGUCCUGAUCUUUUCCUUUUGAUUUGUAAACAUGAGGCAGACGCAGUUGACAAAAAGUUUUCUUGUGGAUUGUUUAUAUAAUUAGGAUUCCAACCAGCAGGUUCAGGACAAUAUUUCACAUCUCAAAUGCUUCAUUUAGGUUACGGCGACUUCAAUUUCCACCCGCUGAAGCUUUGCAAAUUAACUUCCAUAUGCACAAAUGUGGAGCUUUGUCUUUUUCACGAGCGGCUAUCUAUCGAGACGCGAGCAUGUUUACAUUAUUUAUGGAAUAAUCACGCGUCAUGCGCCUGACUAGAAACUAAUAACAAAGAUCAUACUUUACAGAGAACACGACAGGAGGGGCAAAAAAGAACAAAGACAAUAGUUGAUUCUUUAUCAUCUAAUCCUAAUCAUAGAGAGUGCCUUGUCAAGAUUCUUGGCCUUCAUCUGAACGUAAUCCUUCACCGUGAUGGACCGGAACCGAGCAGCGUCCUCUUGGCCUGAGGUCUGUGUGAGUCCAUGAAUAGGGCCGACGUGAAAAUCCGUCGGGGGUCCGUAAAAGUAACCGACGGUUAGCCGGUGCGUAUUCUCACUUGGGAUCACCCGGUGAACGACACUAGGGAACAUGGCAUUGGACAUGAUGUGGAGCAUGUCACCCACGUUCACCACAAGUGCACCGUUCAUGGGAAACACGGGAACCCAGCCUCGGCCUUCCCUGUGGACUUGGAGCCCAUGUGCGCUGUGGUUUUGGUGAAGAAUUGUCAAGAGCAAGGUAUCGGUGUGCGGCGCGAGUCCCAUGGCCUGGCCUGGAUCGGGACACCGUGGGUACGAGUUCAGCUGCAGCGCAGUGCAGGCGUUGCUCCGGAGCCGCGGCCAGUCGACAUCGUGCUCAGAUAUGCCGAGGUACUUCAGGAUCAUGGCGAGUAGUCUCUCUGAGAGCGCCUUCAUUUUGUCCUGAUAGUCUUCCAUUACUUCACUGUUGUACGUGACCCCAAGAAAACACGAGAGGACAAAAACAUAAUGAUGCCCAGUACAAGCAAGAUCAAUAAUGCCAACGAUACCAAGACAAGUCUAUUAAAUCUGCAUAAAACCAAGUUUUGUAAAUACAUUUUUGUAUUUAUAGCAUUAUUCAUAGUGGAAAUCACUCCUUCACUAAAAUAAGAAAGUAGUAUUGAGCAUAUUACAAGCUUUCGCUGGAAUUGGCUUAUUAGAUCUGCAAAAGCGAUAAAAACCUACGAAUUUUUUGGCAUCACUCCGUAGUAAGCUUGAAUAACAAGUUCUCUAAUCUUUGAUACAUAUGCAGCUCCCUCCCCUCUUUUAGCUCUUUGAUUUUCAGGUUCACUAGAAUCACAAAGUCGACUACUUUCUGGAGGAGUAUCUGAAUCUCUAGAAAGAAGGAAAGAAGACUGUUCAAUUUAGUAAUCAUGCAAGUAAGUAUAUAGGGAAAAAUAGGUAGCUAAUCUUUUUAAUUUGCCUUUGGUGCUAGAAUGGUAUUGAACUAGGUUCAGGAGUGAAGUAGAACACCAUAUUCCUCGCACUCAAAGAGUAAUUAUCUACUUAUUGGUUUAUAAAGACUUUUUAAAUUAUCACCAAAAUUUAAUGAGAGAUUUCUCCAGCCAAACCCUGGUUCUUCCUAGUCAUGCCUAAAUAAACCAUCUACCCACUCAUCACCUUCUCCACGUGCAUGAACUGACCAUGCAUGGAAGUUACCACUCACCAAAACUUGCGAUACCCAUGAGGCCAAACCUCCCUAGCAUGCUCCAAUGGCGAUCCCAUCAUGGUAAACCCUUCAUGCCACAUGAACUUGUUGAAGAACGGUGCGAUCCGAGCGACGCCAUAGCCUGUAGCUCCACUGGGGGACCUGAGGGCCUUUACCUUGGCUCUCGCGGGGAGCGUGAAAAACCGCCAGGCUUGCGACUCAAUCUCCCUCAGAAGACUUGAAGGGAUUCCGUGGUUAGUGACCUGGAAUAUGCCCAUAAUUUUGCAGGCAUGACCCGCCAUUUCGAUCGCAUCCGGGCUAUCAAGAUCGAUGGCUGGAAUUGAGAAGUGAUCGCCAUCUAAAUUGAACAUCCUCCUUGGAGACUCAUCGUCCGAUUGAGGCCAUGAAUGCGAUUGCGGCACUUCUUCAACAGAAUCAAAGUCUAUGGGGAUGAUGUGCUGAAGAUGGAGAGGUGUCUCUGUGUAGGCUUCAGAGAGAGUAGCCAUGAAAAGCUGGAAUUUGAAAGGAAAAUAGAAGCUAACAAGGAAAGAUAGGGUUCUUUAUAUGGUCUUCUUUCAUUAAUCAUAGAAGGUUAUAUAUAUGGACGCCCACUAAUGGAGUGAGUAUAUUAAUGUAAACAUCUGGUUCAAAUGUUAAUAGGGUUAAAAUGGGGCCGGCUGAUGGACAGAAGUGGUGUCUGGAUGUGGUUUUGGAAGGAUGUUGGGGAAGGUGGAAUAAGACAAAAUAGUGGGCAGAAAAAAAUUGAAGAAAUUGUGGCGUCUCAAUAAGACUCCAAACACUUUUCAGUGUUUACAUGACAAGGCUGUUUUUUCCUUUCUUUCCUCUCUUCUUUCUUUGCGCUCUCGUGUGGACGAUAAACACAUGCUUUGUCCACUAGUGGGAAAGAGAAAAUGGACCCACUUAAAGGGUCUAAUUGAAUAGAAAUACAGUACGAACUUGUUAUCUAUAUGAUAUGUACUGGAAAUUGGGCAGAAUUAAUCAUACUACAUAAACUAAUGUGUUGGACCAUGCACUUUUUCUAACAAAAUCCAAUACGGUCUUAAUUACUAUAUGUUGACUUGGGAUUGGAGUUAAUUUAGUGAAAGAAUUUAGGUAAUUUUUUUUUCAUAUGUAGUUACAUAAAGUACACAUAAGAUUAUAAUCAAGACGGGUCGAGAGUGGUGUUGAGGUACUUGUACUAGGAAUUCAAGGAUGGGACAGUUAUCAUUUUAGAGGAAAUUUCAAGGUGGGGUUGGUUGCCAUGCCAAACUGGUCGAGAGUUGACGUUGCUUCGCAAUGAUAGUUAUACUAGGUUGAAAUUGGUUAUUAUGCUUAAGUGAACUGUAUAUCUCAUUCAAGAAAAUGAAUACCCAAGCUAAAUUGGGCAUGGUAUGAUCAAUUAUGAGGAUGUUAUUUGACAUAUUGUACUUGAAAAGAAUCUAUUGAGGGAAGGUUGGCUUGAUAAUCAGACUCACCAAGCACUAUAGGGCUUGUCUUUGAUGAGGAAACUUUGGGCCUGACAAACAGUAUCAGAGUGGGUUUCCCAAACUGUAUGGCGAGUGUUGAGAAGAGAUCUAUUGUCAUGUUUCCAACAAGAAGAGUCCAUUGGUUUGCUAAGAUUAGGAGAAGCCUAGUAGGCAAAAGAAAGUUUUGCUGAGGGAGCAUAGUUGGCUUGAGAUGCCACACUUUUCAAGGAGAGCACAAGUAACUAAAGAUUUAGGAAUAACUUUGAUCAAGGGAAGCAACUGAUGGAGUGGAAUAGCUUGUUUUGUUGUGCAAGCAUUUGCCAUUCAUGUGAGUUUGAAGGAAGUGAUGGUGAUGGUUAAAGAACAUAAGGAAGUGAUUGAAUAGCUUGCAAUGAGGGCUUUUUAGAAAUUGAGUGGGCAAAGUGUCACUGUCCUAAUUCUCCCAUACUGAUGUGAGUUGGAAGUGGGUUUAGUGGCAUUGGGUUGAAGCAUGAGAAAUGCAAGAGGUACAACUUGUUUGUGGGAGUAGCAUCAAAUUGUUUGUGCCAGGAAUCCAAAGAAGGUAUGACCAUCAUCUUGAAGGAUCUUUGUAGAUGGGUUGGCCUCUCAUUUGUAACUGGUCAUGAGCUAAUGUCAUGCUUCUAAUGAUGGCCAUGACAAAGAUCCUUAAUCUCACUUGAGAGAUUGGAUGUACAAGUUAAAUUGGAUGUAGUACCAUCAAUUGUGAGCUUAGGAUUUGCCAAAUUGUCUAGGUUGAGUUGGUGUUUUGGCUCAUAAGGUGCUAUAGGGGUUUGUGCUCAGCCAAGAAACUUUCGACCCGUGACACAAGUGUGAGAAAAUGACGACUGGUGAUGGAUUAGGAUUACUCCCUUAGUAUCAUGUGAAUGGACCAACAACUCAAUCAGUUCCUAGAGGCACCACACUAGGGCAACAUAUUCAUGUGCAUACAUAUUUCAUAUUAAUUUGAGACCAACGUUUAACUUUUACAGUCAAUCGUCAACGAAAUAUAUGAAAUUUAUUCUGCACACCCAGUAGCUUUGAUAGUCCCUUAAUAUUUUGAAAAUGAGCAAAAUCAAAUUGUAAGUUCUGAAAAUAUACGAGGAAAUUAUACAGGGUUAAUAUUAUGAAAUGCCCUACCAAACUAAUUUUUUGACCACUAAAGACCCAAAAAUGGUACACUUAUGACAAAUUACUGUCAGUUAGUUUCUAUUAAAUUUUAUCAUCAAAUUGAUAAGUUGAAUGAUAUAUGGUAGUUAACAAGUAUACUAAUUUAUAGGUUUUACUCUUUGUUUAUUACAUGUAUAUCAGUUUGUGAUUUUUCAUGAUAUUAUAUCUAAAGGAGAGUAAAUUUGUUACAAAUAUACUAGUUCAAGGUUUUUGGUAGUCAAAAAAUUAAUGCAGAGUAAAUUACAGGUGUACCAAUUUGGGUUUUUCGUGAUAUUAAAAAAGUCAUACACGGUAUAUUAUGAACAACCCUUUGAAACUAAUUUUGUAAUCACUAAAAAUCCCAAAUUGGUAUACAUGUGGUAAAUUUAAUGCUAGUUAGUUUUCGUUAAAUUUUAGCAUCGAAUUACUAAGUUGAAUAACACGUGAUAAUUGACAGGUGUAUCAAUUUGGGGUUUUACCCUUUGUUUAUUAUUGUAUACUAAUUUGUAAUUUUUUUUCAUAUUAAUCCAAUUUAACAAAAACUAACGAAGAGUAAAUUUCUCAACCAAUGUACAAGUUCGAUUUUUUCUUUGUGGUAAAAAAAUUAACCUUUGGUAAAUUUAUUAUAGGUGUACCACUUUAGGAUUUUUCAUAAUAAUAACCCAAUUGAUACAAAAUGUUGAUUUUUGUACAUUUUGAAUGAUUUGAGAUGUUUCGCCUUAGAUUAAAGUCAAAUUGCGUGAGUAGUACUAGGAGUCAUUCGAUUAAGCAACGUGCAUAUAGGGGUAAUCUGCACAGUUCUAUAUGCUGGCCGAUUUCUCUUGGUAUAACAAGUACUCUUCAGUUUUCAACUAAAUUUUUGGUACUUGUACAUAUAUAUUUAUUUAUUUAUUCCAUUAUCAACCCACCCAAUUUUACUUGUGCUAUAUUGAAAUUAGGUGAAAUAUGGGGAAAGUGUAACUGAGACCAAAUGAUCCGUUCUCUUAUGCUGAAGGCACAUAGAGUGCGUUUGGGAGAAUUUUAGGUUUAUGACUUUUAGUAUCAGAACAAAAUUCUUGGAUUCAAGGUGUUCCAAAAAUAAAAAUAAAAAAUUCAAAUAGUGUUUGAAUAGUUGGCUCUUGGUACAUUCCAGUAAAUCAGUUUUUUUUUAAUGAUCUAAAAUUACAGGAAAAGGAAUAAAAAAAAGAGAGGAAAGCAAUUAUUGCAACUUGAUGAAGGUCGUCUAGAGGCCAUGAGACCUGAGCAAGGCUCGUUGGGGUUGUGCAACCUCAGCCAAGGAGGCGCCGGGGUCGCUUGAACCAUGGUAAGAUAGAUCUCGUUUAGGUGAAGUUUGCCAGUGUUGAGCAACCCUUGGCAAAGCUUGCUAGUGUUGCUUUUGGUGGCAUCAUGCAACCCUUGUGCGAGGGGUUAAUAAAGGUUGCUGGACCUUGGCAAGGCACGUUGAGGCUGUGUGACCUUAGACAAGGCUGCUAUGUUAAUCGACCCAAGGUGAGACAGAUCUUGCUUGGCGAAGCUUGUUCACAUUGUGUGUCCAUAGGCAAGCUAGAUUUGGGGCCCGACAAGCUAGACUAGAGACCGGGAGACCUCGGGACGGCUCGUUAGGGGUGGGCAAACCCAGGCAAGGCAGCAUUGAGGUCGCUUGACCCAAGGUGAGGCAGAUCUCGUCUAAGCGAAGCUUGUCGGCAUGAAGCAACCGUUGACGAAGCUAUGUCGGUAUCUCUCUACCUCCUCUAGAAAACUUCCCAGUCAUGAUUGUCUGUCUCCAUCUAAGAAACACGAGUAAAAUAAGAAUAUCAAUAUAUUAGUGUGGGUAAAAUUGAAAGAAGAAAAGUCGAUUCAACCCAUAUAGUAGCAUUCCAAAAAUGAUAAAGUCCAAAGUUGGGGAAAGGUGGGCUUUUGCCGUGAGCCUUGAGCAUAUUCAAAGCUCGACUUUGUACGAUUGUGUCACCUAAUUCGAUGGCCUCAAGAGGUCCAAAGUCACUUGUAAAUGCUGCGCCAAAUGUGUCCACAAAAAUUGACUUUUUAUUUCUUGAGGCGUGAAUAAAGAAGAAGUGGAAUUUUAAGGCUCAUUGCCUUCUUUUGAAAUUCAGAGAUGUCGCCGACGGCCAAGGUCAAGUUGGCACAUCAUGAUCUGACAAAGCGUUUUCCACUCCCAUUUGUAGGGCAUUAGAAAUUUCUUCAGCUUACCUAGAUAUUGCCCACGUUGCGGAAGAUUUUGCUUUUCUCCAGGCCUUUUUUUCCUUUCGUGAUACAUGCGGAUUUGAUUAUUCUAUGCAGAUUCGGGGAUCACCGUCAAGGGUAGAGUUUUGUCUAUUUAGAUUACUUAAGAGGUCUCCUAAUUAUGAUGAUUAUUCGAUCAUGGUAGGAUGAGGAAACUGCCGUGACACAAUGAGAUUCGUUGGGUGCUCUAAAAGAACUCAACAAUUGACAUUAAGAAUUAAAAAAAGUAAGAAAAGCGGAGAAAACAUUCCUUUCAUUGACAGCUGUGAUAGAAUUUGUUUUUCUCUUUUGAGCUCAUUCCGACAAGUCUAUUGACUCUAGUAAUUAUCGAAUUUCAAUAUGACGAAAGAAUUUAUUGUGCCCAAAAAGAUUAGUUGCAAUCUCCAAAAAAAAGAAAAAAAUAGGCCAACAAUCGAGAUUAUAAAAAAAAAAGCAGGGUAAUUUUCAUUCGCCAACAUUAAGUCUGAUGUAGAUCCUCUAGUUGGAGCUUUCCAACCCAAGUUAUAGAACUUGAACCACAAAGUUUUGAAGCAUAGACCGAUCCACACGCUUCCUCCCUACAUCAGAAAUUCCUUUCCACGCGGGUCGUGAUGACCAAGCAAUUCCUUUACGCACACAGUAAGGCCACAUUGACCAAAUUGCAUUAUUGUGGAUUCAUCCUGAGAUUCUUUCUUCCCUCAUAACUCGAUCUAGCAUUGUCAUCGAAUUAAUUUUUUAAUUUUUUGUGGGAUCACUGCCUGUGAUAUGAUUUAAUAUAUAAAUAUUCUAUCACUUCUCUUCAUGCUUAGUUUGAUGUUUUUGCUUAGUACCAAGUGAGGAAAUAUUUCGUUGAGGAGACAAAUGAGGCCUUGAAAAGAUUCAAACUUGGGGCCUUUUGCUUUGAUAUAAUGUAAAAUUUCGUGAGAGCACCGUCAAGUAUUCUAAAGAAGUUAAGUUAUAGUGUGGUUUAAUAUUUAAAUAUCCAAUAAAAUUUUAUUAAUUACGAAAAAUAGAAAAAACUUUGAGUUAUAGAGACAAUAAAUUAUUGAAAUUUCUUCUUGCCAAAAAAAAAUUAUUGAAAUUUCUAAGACUUCCACUUGCAUCGAGUAGAUAAUAACAUUUCGUAGGCUCAUUUUGAUUGACUAUAUCAAUUACACUUGGAGAUAAAAAAAAACAAAAAACUUCAAGAUAUAGGUAGGAUGAUGUGGCCAAAGGCUUUGUAUAAAAAAUUGGACUUCAAAGUGAUAGAGCAAGAAAGGUGCUGAGAUAACAGUGCGAUAUUCGACUUCGAUACAGAAUCGAAUUUGACCUCGUUAUAGAAGUCGGUAAAGGAGUGGUAAAAGACAUCAAGGAAACAUUGAUGGUUCAUGUUGCUUCGUUGGUCAAGUUGCCCAUAUUCUAACAACGCCACUCGACAAGUGUGAGGAGUGAUUGCUAGAAUAAGAGAGCUCGGAUAAAGAGCAAUGAGCAUCUCCUAGCAAUCUUUUAGCAAGAGUGAAUUGAAUUUCGUACCGAACAUGAGGAGAGCAUUCUUGAAAUAUAUAUAUGAAAUUGAAAUUAACUUUAAAAAGAUGCCUUUUAAUGUUACGAAACUUUUAGCAUUAGAACUCUAAUGUUAAUAGUGCUGAGGUGAGAAUACUAUGAGGGAAAAGUACUACUGAGAUGAGUAACCUCCUAGAAAAGUGCCUAUUAUUAGAUUAUUAAUUCACUCAUUCAAAUAAUAGUAUAAGCUUUUUAAAUAAUUAGUAAUGAUUCCACAAAAUCCGACAUAGUACCAGAGUAGAAAGUCCCAAGUUCAAUGUUACAAGGCUCCUAUUUGCGAUGUUUAGGCCAAAAUACAAGCAUAUGAGUGAGUGUUAGAAUAUGUAAAAGAUCAAAUAUCGCAUUCAUUUAAUAACUUAAAAUUUUAAAAUAGUUUAUAAUGGUUUCACAAAAUCUCACACCUACAUACAAAACCGUGAAGUUCGAUAUGGGAUGGAUAAAAAAUAAACAAUAUCUCAGGUAAGUGAAUCCAAGGGUGCCACCCAAAUUGAUAAAACAAUACACUGAUUAAAGAGCAUAUUGGGCAAAUGCAAUAUAAGCACAUGCUCAUAAGCUUAUCAAGGGCACCUAGCAGUCAACGAUCAAUAAUGUAAUGGUUACGACACUUGGCCCCACUUGUAGCCAAUGGCAAUCAAACAAAAUCAACUAUAAAAUUAAAUAGAGAAGAACUCAAGUGAAUUCUUGAAGCCUCACAUAAUCUCACCAACUCAAAAUAAAAUUCUCUCUUUUCUUAUGAUGAAUAGACUCAAGUAUCGGAAGGCCUUUAGGUCAUUAACAAUUCUUUAAACGAUCAAGAAGCUCCGGAGGACCGAAAUUUAAUCUCCGAUUUCGUCAAAUGAAAAAUGCGGAAUUCACAUUGAAUUACCAAUUAAAGAUAGAGGCAACAUAUUAUAGUAUAGUAAUUAAAUUUAUAUAUUACCUCAACAGUGAAUUUAGCCUAAACAAUAGCUUCUAUUACUCGCUAUCAAGGCAGAUGAUGGCAAAAAUGUUCUUGGGUGGCAAUUCUCAAUUGUCGGCAUAAACGCAACUAGUGGAAAAGCCUCAAGGAAAGGCGGGGCGGAUGCGCUCUUUAGUCACAUAUCAGCUUGACUUUAAGGACAAUUGACCUUUGCCCCAGAUGAGCUCUAGCAUCAUAGACCUAAUGAAGAGCUAGUCCUUGAUUUUUAUACGCAAGAGUUGGAUCCCCUUUUUUAUAAUUUAUUUUUUGGUAAAAUUCAAAUAUUGGACAUUCGGUUUCAAUUUCUUUCUUGAAAAAGUUGGUCAACACCACUUCUGUCACAUCUUCUACUCUUUCAUCAUUUUACUUAACCCCACCCAGCAAAAGCGAAGAAAGACGAGAUUGAGGAAUGAGUGGUUCUUGAAUGUGCUCGACACUGAAAGAUUGAUACAAUGUAAGAAUCGGAGAGCCUGGGAAAGCAUUCAAGUUGGGCUUCUCUUGCUCUGGCUACUUAUUAAAUUUUGUUUUUAUGCAGAUUUCAAGUUGCUUAGAUAGGCUUAGGGUGCGCAUGACAAUCAUUCUGUUUCAGAUUUAGUUUAUGAAACAGAGAUAAAUUUUUCUAUUUUUAUUUUUAUUUUUAAAAGAGUUUCUAAGCAAAAAUAACCGAUUAAUAAUGACACAAAAUUUAUACUUUAAAAAUAUAAAUUCGUUUGAUAACGACACAAAUUUUUUUCCUUUCGGAUGACGGCGGACCAGCGGAUGGCGGCGGUGGCCGGCGAUUGGUGACUGGCGACCGGCGGCGGCGGGCGACCGACGGCAAGCGAUUGGCGACCGACGAUCGGCGGUGGUGGAGGGCGGCGGGCGGUGGCGGUAGGUGAUUGGCGGCCGACAACCAGCGGUGGUGGCUGGCAAUCGGCGGCAGUGGCGAGGGCCGGCGGUCGGCAUGUGAUCGAUGGACAAUGGUUGGCGGCAACGUAUGAAGGACCGGUUGACGAACGAUGAGAAAUUUUUUUAUUUUUCACAACUGUUCCAGAAAUAGAGAAGUAGAAAAUUUUAACUUCUAAUUUCUAUUCAAAACCUAUUUUUGGAAUAUAAAUAUAUUUUAGAAAUAGAAAAACGAAAUAAGUUUAUCAAUUAGAUUUCUAUUCCAGAAACAGGUUUGGAAUAGAAAAAUUGUUUCUGCAAUAAAAAUUAUGGUUUGUCAUGCACCCCUUAGUGACUGGGCCACUUUAAGGUGGCUUGAAGUCCAACAAAUGUGAAGGUGGUUUCCGGGAAGAAUGACUUGAGAAAAUACUUUUGGAGUUAGACGAUGAAUUCGACUUUAAGUACUUGCGGCCUUUUUUUUUCCUUCCUCGUUUGGGUGUACCUGGGUAGGUGGUGCGUUUGUCGGCUUUCGCGCACCUCAAUUGGUCUACAUCCCGUAAAUAUUGAUCCGUGGAAGGGUUGAGUUUCGCAUGCUGCACGCACAGACCACAUUUCAUAAGCUGCAUAUUCGUGUUCAGAGCAUAGUGACAGAGACGUCAUGCUCAGAUUCGAGACGACCUUUGCCCAGAUCUUACUUAUGAUGUUUUCAUGUAUUAUGCUGACACUUACUCUUGUUUUGGUGGCAUAAGGAGUAGCAUUUCUACAAUUAAGACCAUCAUGCUUGAUAUGAGUCUCUCUCAUCAUCAUAUUCAUGCACCACACAUAUUCUGUCCCACAUUACACAAUUUAGUCGAGCGAGAUCCGAAGCGUCCUUAUUGGAAUUGUGAGACAUAGAAAAGUUCAAAGAAAAAAUAUUUUCUAUUUUAUGGUUACGUCGUACAUUAUUAUAUGUAAGGAACAUUAUUUUGAAUUUCUACGGCAAACUAAACUAGAGGGAGAUUCAUGUAAUGUUAGACUUAGCUGAAGAUUUACAAAAAAAAAAGUUUGUUCUUGAAGAAAAUGAACAUUAAAAAUGAGGAAAUGGAAGGAGAUGAACAUUGAAAAAGGAAAAGAGAGAGAGAGAGAAAAAGAAAAUUUAAGAAGAUUCAGCACAGUACAUGAAAUGGCCUGUUUUGUUUGAGUUCUUUCAAGUUAAACACUGCAUGUGUCACGUAAAAUGGCAAACGAUGGCUGAAUUGUUGCCAUGCCAGUAUUUUCAAGCAAAAAUUGAUUGGAAUGACCAAAUUGAGAUUUCACUAAAAUGUUCACGACUACAUUGGAAAAUUUGAAAAUUUAGAACUAUAUUGAUAUCCGUAGGUUUAGACUUGAUUUAGUAUUAUACUCCUAUAACGGUACUUUGUAAGUAUAACACAACCUUCCUACAAUGUUGUCCCAUCAAAUAUGGGACCUGAAAAUCUUGAUUGCCCUAGCGAUGUAAAUGCAAUAGUUUUUUUAGCAGCUUGGGAACAUUUUGAAGAAAAAGCUUCGUAAAGACACAGGUUUCUUGAAACCAACUUUCCAUAGUUGCGGAAAGUAACAAUAUGAGACGGUCCCAAUAGCUCGGUUGCAUGAAGGUUUUAGCACUAACUUUUCUCCAACUACGGAUGGCAUACACUAAGGAGGAGAGGAGGGCCGAUUGAAGGGGCCAAGAUAGACAGGAAAGCGAUCUCGCUGAUCCUCCAACAUUUGGUCCAUCACUGCAAUUUAAUGCGAACAACUUUGGAAAGAAAAACGGAUGUAAAGAGGCCAAAUGUGACAAGGAAGCCACGUCAAGAUUAACAUUGAGGCUUUGUUCGUAUGAGUUGGGCCUAGUAUGGUUUGCCACAUUCGCAUUGCAUGGAAAUAGGUCAAUCUAGGCCGGAUUAUUAUUAUUAUUUUUUCUGACCCGACCCGACCCGGCCCGACCCGACCCGACCCAUCCAUUUUAAUAGGCUUAUUGCUUCAUAUAAUUUGGUAUCCAUUUCAAGGACUUAUAGAAUACAGUGAUUAACUCUUAUCGCAACUCGUCUGAUGGAUGGCGUUGAUGGAGUUAUAGCACCAGAAACAAAAAGCAACCCCAGAAAAAGAGAGACAGAAAAAUCUCUGUUGAGCAAAUGAAUACAAAUCCCUCGAGAUAUUAGGGCACUAGCCAUGACAACUAUGAAGAUGGGCAAGUCCACCGGGUCUCAACGUCUGAGAAGGAAAAGAGAGAGCAGUGCAGCCAAAUAGGCAAAAAUUAAUUAGGCGUUGAAGGAUCAUCAUCAUCGAACACAAGAUUAAGCUUUCAAGAAUUGGCGAGCUUAUCUUUGCAUUUACAACCGAUGCGGAUGCUCUUGUGUGUGAAUUUUCGACAAGAUUACGAAUUAACACACCAAUUCGAGCUUCUUUUAAAGAUUAAAAAUAGAGAAAAGUUUUCUUAGUAAAAGCUUAACUUAAUCGGGUCAGACAAUUCUGGGAUCUUACAUUGGCACGUGACUAUCACGUGCUUGCCGGACGGGAUGAUCUUAGCACCAGCGACGAGGUGGUGGCUCCGGGGCGGGGCGGGGCGGGGCUGGGCGGGGCAGGCCGGGGCCGCCGGGGGGGGGGGUUGUUGGUGGGGGUUCAAAUUGAAACGGGGUGUUUCAGAUCGGGGCCAUCUUGGAAAACGAAGUACCAUUUCGGGGGUUACUUCGGGAAAAGCCGUCAAAUUGGGGGGCCUCUUUCGAAAUUCUCUCGCUCCCUCUCUCCAGUCUCCGGUGACUCCGGUUCGGGGUCCCUCGCGGCCGAGCCUCAGCCACGAACCGAGCGGAAGCAACGUGAGCCACAAAAUCUUCCACGUACAAAAACUUCACCGGGAACCGAGGGAGGCCGGAAGGGAGGAAGGAUCGGCGGCGACAAUGGCUUCCCUGAACUUCGCCGCCGCCGGCCGGACGUGGCCUCCAACUUCGGAAACCGCCAGAAACCUUCGAAGCUCGUCCGCGGGAAGCUACUCGCUCUGUCGUUGAAUGCAGCGGGUUCGACGGAACCUUCGUCGGCCGCGCCAGAAAAGCCGGAGAUCGAGCUCGAGUUCAUCGGGGUAAUCACCCCGCGCCCCGACUGAUUAUCGUCAUGCGUUUUCGCCGGAUUCUGUAGUUUCGUAAAUGUAACUUGCUGCAAGUAGUCGCCAUGUUAGUCAGACAAAAUGCCGAUCUCCUGCAUGAAGAAACUUGCAUUGCUGAUGAUGAAACGCGGUUUCGAUGGCAGCCGAAGCCGGGGGCUGACGGUUCGUAUCCGGUGGAUAAGGCUAAGGCCGUAAGCGGAGAGAAGCUGCUGAGGAACAUCAUGAACGAGAACAAGAUCGAGCUCUAUGCCACGUAUGUAAGUUCGUUCUUAGAGCAAAUUUCUCGCCGAUUGAUUCGCUUUGUAUGUAAAGUAAGAUUCGGCCUCACUUAUCAUCAAUUUGAUAGUAUGAUUGGUUUCUCGAUGCAUUGUGAAUUUGCCUACUUUUUCUGGUUAAAUGUGGUGGUGAGUUUUGGGAUGCAUUAGAAGUGUUUGAUGAUAUUCUCUUCUCUGCAGGGGAAAGUGAUGAAUUGUGGAGGUGGUGGAAGCUGUGGAACUUGCAUUGUGGAGGUAUGUAUGUAUGGCUCGCUAGUUUGCUGUGCAGCUCUCGUAUUUUAGACAUGGAAUUAGGAUGCCAUAAUUUAUCGUCAUUGGAGGGAUAGUGAAGCUCGUGUGAGGAAGCGCACAGAUGUUUCCAGUUUCUCGACAUGGGAAAAAAAAAAAUCCAAUGUAGCUCAUUUGAGCUGAGAGUUCUCGAUUGUAUGCUUCGAAUAAUCCCAUGUCUAGAGCAACUUAACGAGAUGAAACAAUGAAGGACUGAGGGUUCGCGCGGUCUGAGUAAUAUAGAUGUGCAUUCUUAGAGCAAGAACUUUCAGGGAAAGAUGUUAAGAGUGCUUCCUUCAUGUGCAUGGUUCUCUUCCUAUUGCUGAGGCUUGCAGUCAUGUGUAGAGCUUAGAGACCAACUUGAGCUCCCUAGGCAUCCUACAAUUUGAGGCUUGCAGUCAUGUGUAGAAAACUAUCGGAUGAUUGAAACUUGUCCUGUUGGGCAGAUUAUUGAUGGGAAGGAUCUCCUAAAUGAGAGAACCAAUACUGAACUGCAAUAUUUGAAGAAAGUAAGCUCUCUCUCUCUCUCUCUCUCCCCUGUUGUUAGUCCAACGGAUGCAGGUUAUAACCUUGAUAAUCAAGUUGUUCUAACAAUGGCUCCAACUGCCAGAAACCUGAAUCCUGGAGACUUGCUUGUCAGACUAUUGUGGGGAAUAAAGAAAACUCUGGAAAGGUAAAGCGCCAUGAUCUUUACUGUCCUCUAGUUGCUAGAAAGCAUAUUUGCAAUUUAAUUGAAAUCUGGAAGAAAGUAAGCUGUUUUUGUCACAAAUUAAGGUCCCUUUAUUUGAAGGAAAACUGUUUCCAAGAAAUUGUUUUCGAAUUUUCUGGUGUUUUGGAUGAUGAAAAACUAAUCAAUGUAUAGAAUUCAUUAUCUAUAGACUAAAAACAAGAAGCUUAGAUUGGGAGAAAAUGACUUCCUCUUUUAGUAAAAUGAAAGAAAUCACUUUCCUAAACCACCAAGUAAAUGAAAACUAACUAUUUUUGUUGAAAAUGAUUUUCAUGGAUACUAGUUUCCUUUAUAAUGAAGUUUUAAAGGCAACAAACGCAAUAUGAGAAUUGCUUUUCUUCUUGAGGACAUACAGGUCUGAACAAACAUCUCUGCUCAUGCAUUUCAAUUGCAGGUUGUGGUACGAAGAUUGCCCCAGUGGAAGAAGUGAUGGAGAACCAGACCUUGUAAAAGGAGAUGCGUCGUGACAGGCAGUAGACAUGCCGUUGCACUUGUAUUCCCAUGAUUUUUCAAGUCGAGAGCGACCUUGAUUGUGCACGCAUAGUUUUGUUACUGGUGCGAACUUUUAGUUUUCUAUGGAGAUAGAUGCAUGAAUAGAGAAGCAUGUAGAUGAUCGUUCCGAUGAAUCCUGAACGGUUGAUGGGGCAUCAAAGGAAACUCCAAUUGGCUAUUAUAUCACAUACCCUGUUCAGAAGCCUCAACUCUGAUAUCAAACUUGCCCGUCUACAUAAAACUGUUUUCCCUGAUGUCAAUUCCGAGCCAGCCUUCAUCUGUUUCUUUCCUUGUUAUUUGCAACAUCAUUGCUCCACCAUGCUUGACGGCUCAAAGCCCCGACGCCAUAGAUCAACGGUCAAGCCUGGAUCUGGAGGCUUGCUGCCUCCUUUGGAGAACGCGGAGGGAGGGAGCUGCAAAACGAAAGAACUAGCUAAUCAACUAGAGCUCUGGGGUUGAUGCGGUGGCCGGAAGUGGCGGGAGGGCGUCCAAAGAUGGUGGAAAAUAGCAAUAUAGUCUUUUUGUCCAUAAGGUUUUAUCUGAGGAUGUAACUGGAUACGUUGAAAAAUAGAUGAAAGAAAGUGGUAAUGGAGUAAGAAGUGAAGAAGAUAUUGGUAUGUUUCCUCCUCCUUGUUUUUCUUUUGUUUUUGGGCCAGACUGUAUUUUAGUGUUUGGUUAUAUUAUUUAUUAUUGUGAGCUAUAUUUGAUGAAUAAAAACCUUUUUUGGGAUGGUUCCAAGAAAAAUUAGCUCCUCUUGAUUUCUCGAUAUAGGUCCAAUAAUUUCAACCACAUUUUUUAGUUAUAUAAUACACUUGACAUAUUUGAAAAGAAAACUCUUUUAGAAUAUAUUUUCUGUCACGCCCCGAACCUCAAGCGCUCGUGCAUCCCUAAGUGAUCGAUCAAAUUGCGACGUUCCCAGGAUGCGUCGCGGACCCAAACAAUUCUUGCACACGCGGAAGCAAACUAUAACUCCGGAUGACAAUCAACAUGAGAUAAAAAAGUAGGGCAAUCAUAUAAAACAAACCACACUUUUAUAAACAUCUAGGUCAGCCUACAAAGUUAUAUACAAAAGUCAAAACCCCAAAAAGGGCUACCUAGCUAAUCCUACCUCGGACCCUAUCUACUUGGGAUCCAGGUUUAUCACGACACCGUUAGGGAUGUCGAUAUCAAGCAAAUCAACUACCUCCUCUACUGCAGGCUCCUCCACCACGGGCCCCUGGUUCGCCGCAUUAUCAGCUAUAAUGUCGGCAUGCACAACAGGGUCCAGUACCACCUCACCCUCACCCUCAAUGGUGGGUCCGUCGAAACCAUCCAUGGGACCUUCUCGUUUCCCGUUAGGCCUGUGAUGAAACCACACCUUGAAUCGAUGAGGUACCAGCUGUGGUAGGCCCUCAUCGACCAAGAUCGUGGUCACGACGAGCUUACGGAUCCAAGGAGUUCCGGGGAUAGGGAAAUCGGUACUCUGUUUGCUAUACCCUCGUGGUUGCCCAAAACGAACGGGACGGACUUUCAUCUAGGAACCUGUAAAGAUUACACCCACAACGGAGUGAGAUAAUGUCUCAGCAAGUCUAUGCCCUAAACCCCAAUUAGGAAUGUAAUACGCCUAGAGGCAGCCUAAGCACACAUCAAAGAAUACUUACCUCACAUUAGCACCCUCCCGCAUGUUAGCACAACUCAUAUAAUAGAUGCAUACAAUAAAUGCACUCAAUAAUUGAAACGCUUCACUUUCAUAUCUCAAUCAAUUACAUGAGUCCCGAUUAUAAGGCCAAUUCGUUAUGACACGUUCUAUUCCGUGCUACACAAUUUUGUCCCAUAAUCAGGCACGGUCAAAUCACUCAUUCAAGCGUUCCAAUUAGUUACGACCCAACGGCCAUAGUCGACUUAACAGUUAGCGGUCUUCUAGCAUAGCCGAGCACCGUCUCGCACCACCGAGCAUGGCAACGUCUACCUCUAGACGGCAUUCUUGAAAGAGCAUCAGUUUAGCCUCAACUGCGACCGGCAUUCGUUGACGUGGGGCAUUUCCGAAGGAGCAUUGUCUGGCUCAAAAGCUCGUGACGGGUUCUUAUAACGAUCAUACGCACAUCCAAUCCCAGCCAAGAACAUCAUGCUUUAUACUCAAAUGCCUCAAUUAAAAUAAUGUACUUGGCAUAUUUUCUUCAUAUUAAAAACACCCGGUAAAAUAAUCGUGUGUGGGUACACGGUCAGCUUGAGUCAUAAAAUGCGACACCCUCAACUUUUAAAAACCCCAAUAUUUGAUAUAGUACAUAAAAACAUUUUUGGCGUAAAAAACCAACACUCGGUAUUUUUCUAAUUAAAUACCAAAAAUCCAUAUUUUUAAAGUAAUAAAUCAAAAUUCAUCAAUCAACACUCAAUUUGCACAAACUAAUUGCAUCACGACAAUCAGCACGAAAUUCUAGCGACCAGCUAUCCAGGUAUAAUUUUAAAAAAUAAAUAAAUAAUUAAAUAAGUUACAAAAUAAUUAAAUAAAUCACUAAUUAAGCUAUAUACACUAAUCUAACCACCUAAUUAGAUUAAUUAAAUAAUGUACUAAGCUAAUUAAAUUACACAAUCUAAUUAACCCCUAACUAAACUAAUCUAAUCACCUAAUUAGCAUAAUUAACUAACUAAACCACUAAUUAUCAUAACUAAUCCUCCUAACCCAAUCUUAACCUAAACUAAUCAUCACAUAAGCAUAAUUAACCUUCUAAUUUAGGUUUAGCAAGUAACUCAUCGGAUUAGCAAGUCGGUGAGUUCACGGCAACGGCAAUGCGGAGGCGAGCGAGACUCGAGCUUACAGUGACACCUAACGAGUCCGGAAAGGCCCGGAAAAGGCCCACACAGCCUGUAGCCCGAACCAGAACUUCGAUUCUGUGGUUGGCUAGAAUAGCUGGACCGAGGGGUUAGGACGGUGCGGAAACGGGCACGGCAAGGCCGGGUGGGCAGGCGGAGGCAGCUGGUGGCUCGGAGAUGGCAAUGGGCAGCGGCCAAGCGAAGCUAUGAUGGUCGAGUAGCGCGGGACACGGCUGGAGGAGCUUAGACGCAUGCGAUGCAACAGCUGGCUCGGCGAACGAUUAGGACGGCGUGCGGCGAUCAACGAGUGAACAAGCGGGCUCGGGCGUGGCUUGGACGAUGACGAAGGGGUUGGUGGUUCAGCAAGGGGCUAAACUAGCUAUUGCUCUAGAAAUGGAAUCUAAAGAGAAGAGAAUGAAUAGGAAAACUGAGGGAGAAGAGGAAGAAGAAGCUACUGUUGGAUGUGGGGGGACAAGGAGCCCUCAAAGUUGAUGAUAGAUAUCUAAACACUUGAGUAGUUGCCCCCACCAGCCUUCAGCCCUAUCCAGUAGCCAUUUCCCUCCCAAAUCUUUCUAAGCAAGCCACUUAUGGGGUCCAAAAUGUUUCAGCCCCCUUGGCCUACUAAUUUUGUGCAAUCCUUCACCAAUUUCAAACCAAAUCUCUCAAAUUAAAUCCAAUUUGAUCUCCAAAAAUUUCAGCUAAGGUACCCAUAUCAAAUCUAUGAUUUUCCUCACCAAUUGAUCCCACUUGAAGGCUAAAAACGCACUCAAAUUGGCCCCUCCGAAUUUCCCGGUGUAAAAUCGUCCAAUUUCGAUUUUUCGCCGAAAAUCCAAACUUGCCGAAAAUUAUUUGAAGGAUAAGUCGACGUUCCUAAAAUAAUUGUAACAUGCCACAACUUUCGAUUUCUGAAAUCGAGUUCAAUUUCGUGGUUAAUUUCUACCGGAUGUGAUUUUAGCGUAAUCUAACCUAUUGGGUAACUUUUAGGAAUUUUUAGUUCAUUGACUCAUGGUUGAUUAUUUUCGAUCCACAUUGAGCAUCUUCGACACAUUGACGACUUUCGCUUGUCGUAAAAAUCUCGAGGUUUCACAUAUGAGCACAGGGUACAUAAAUGACAAAGAAAUCGGUUUAGUGGCGCUUGACAAGAAUUUUGCAAUCAAGUGGAAUCACCUACCAUUUAAUUAUAUGCCUCUGAUCUAUAAUUGAUUUUAACGGUGUUGUAUUGACCCUUGUAGAUUAGCACGGUUGAGCAGUCGAUUUCUGGUCAAAUUCUCAAGUUGGUUGCGUUUAAAUUCCUUAAUGACUUCACCUGAUAGAUUAGUUAUCUCGUGAGUGAUCAGCUCAGAGAAAAGAACUAUAGGCACAUCGAUGAAAAGCUCAUUUCAUUUAAUCAAAGGCAAGGUUGAAAAUCAAGAUGUCACAUUUUCUUUCAAAAGUAUGAAGUGUUUUCAUAUUUGAAAAUUGGAAUUUUGAUGUGUACUAUCAUUUCUCCGAACUUGAGGUGUGUUUGAUAUAGCUUUUUCAAAAGGCUUUCAACCUCCAAAACUUCUUGGGAAAAUGCUAAGGUGUUUAGCAAGUCUUUCAAAUAGUUUUGAACCAAAUGCUGACCUUGAGAAUGCUAAAAGCUCAAGGCAAGUAGGGACUAGCCUUUUAUAAAUUGCAUUUGUGAAAUGCUGAAACUAGAGUUAAACAUCUUUUUUCCAAAUCUAACCUCACCAAUUCUUUAGUUUUCUGAUUUUGCCCCUCAUUGCUACUACUCAUCUUCUUUACGAGGACAUUUGGGUAGGGCCAAUGAGGUCAAAUCUAACCAGUGAAGGGCCAGCGAGAUUGCGUGACCCAUGUGAUGGCUACCUGGGAUUGUGUGACCUAGGCGAGGGAUGAUUGGGUCGCGAGACCCUAGGCGACGGUCGUUUGGGUCGCACAAACUCAUGACUUGUCGCUUGGGGGUUGUGAGACCCCAAGCAAUGGUCACCUAGGUCACAUGACCUCAAGCUUUGUCAUCCGGGGUCACACUACCCUAGGCAGCCCUCCACAAGGUCAUGCGAUCCAAUUUAUGGCCACUUGAGGUCACAUGAUUCCAAGUGGUCCUCAUUGAGGUUGCAUAACCUAAGCGAUGGCUGCCUAACGCUUAAGCUUUCUGACCAAAAAAAAAAAAAAAAAAAAAGGCCUAAGCUUGUGUGACCCUAGGUAGCCCUCGCCUGGGUCGUGUGACCCUCGCCUGACUUUGAUUGUCAAUUGCCGGCACCAAAUCUAGCUUGCCGAUGGCCUAAACCUUCCCUAAUCAAAAUAAGAAGAAAAAUUAUAGCUAAAGUCCUUUGCAUUUUUUUUUAAUUCAAACACUACUUCACUCAAAGUUGCAAUGCAAAUGAGUUUUUAUUUAAAGUAAUUUGCAUUUCUCCAUAUGGUUUUGUCUUUUAGCAUCGGCAUUACACCCAAAACCCAUUUUUAAAGUUGAACCAAACUCACCUGUUUGCAUCUCAUGGGAUAUGGUGUUGGGCUACUUAGUUGUUCACCUCGUGGAAUGUUGCGCCUGAUAAUAAGAAGAUUUAUCUUACAAGUUCAUUGCCUACAUUGGACACAAGCACAAAAUAAAUUAGAUGAACUCUUCAACCUCCAGCGUUUACUAAAAAAUUGUAAGAGUUCUCGUUAAUUUUUAAGAUAAUUUAUAAUAAGUGGUGAUCAUGUUCACAUUAUUUACUAGGAUAAAUUAUGUUUGUGGCUUUUCGUUCCUAACAAGUCUAGGUUUGCCUUCUUCCCAUUGAUUUUUUUCAAAUUUUGCAUUAAGCAUGUUCAUAAUCACAAGGCUAGCUGUAAAGCUGGUUUUGGUCUAUGAUGACAUACAAAAAGGUAAAAACAUCCAAGAACAAAUUUGUUGGAAAUUUCUUGAGAGAUAUCGGUCACUUUUUUCUAAUAAAUUGUUCUAGUUAGAGGCCUUUGGCAAAUAAUGAUCAAUUAGUUUUACCUAAAAAAUUGUUGAUUGGAAAAUUAGAACUGCCAUACUGUGUGGUGAAAAGUUGAGAAAACAUAGAUGAGGUAUUCUCACUUGUUCAGUGUCUUGCCAGAUGGAUCCUUUAUACUUGCAGAUGAAAAUAUUAAUGUGGGGAGGGCUGAAGAGAGAGAUGAGACUCCUGAUUGUGCAUUUAGCUGUCUCCUCUAUUGUAAAUCUCAAAUCCACUUCAUAGGAUUUUCAGCACUCAUUUAAAUCUGUGAUCCUAAGUAGCUAUUAAGAUAACGUGGUCCAUAACCUUUGGGAUGGUAUUGCCUUGUUGCCUAAAGGGAUGGGGAACUAGUUCUGGUGGCACGAGAGACUCUUCUCUUCAUUUAAAUUCCAGGAUGACAGGAUGCCUAUGGUUUGCCUUGCUUGUGUCUUCUCCAGUUUCAAACUAUAACUGCCUGCUCCGAUUCAUCUUUUAGUUCUAGUCGUCUACCGAUAAAUUUAAUCUUCAGGAUGAUGAGUGCAGAGAGGAGCCAUUUAAUUUGAUGAUAGGUAUUUCCCUUUGGGAGGAAUGCAAAUAUGAACAAAGAAAUGCAGCCCAAACACAACUGAAGGAUCCACUGCCUGAAUUAUGCGAGAAAGAGCUAAAGCAUUAGACAUGUCGACAGGGAUACUCCCAUCCCCAAGGCUCUCUUUUAAACAGGAGCAAAAGCGAACUGUUCGUGCAAAUGCCAAGAAAUCAGUAUCAGACGAGAACAAAAGCAACUAUGGUAGGAAAAGCUGGCAAGUAGCACAAAAAGAGAGCAGUACUCAAAGAUGUCACUAACAUCUUUUGUGAGAAUUCAUACUUGAAGCGUGUCGAUAUUACCAAUGCUCAGGUUAGUGCAAGGCAUUCUUCUUAAGUGACUCUGUUCUUCAUAUGGGGAGUCCGUAUUUGUCAUGAGGUCUUGGCUGGUUAUCUGUUUAUAUUCCCAGCAAUUUAAAGAAGUGGAGCAUUGUACAAGAUGGACCUGAGGAUGCUUUGUCCGUUCUUCAAAGGCUGUCUGUUUUGAGUUGAUGCGAUGGCUCAUUUUAUGUCCAGCAUAUACACUUUCAGCUAGCUAUACCUUCAAAGUCUGUUGACUGUGGUUGCUGAUUGGCAGACCAGCAAGCAAGGUAGAAAGCUGUCUUUGAAGGACACAAAUGCGCAUCAAAGAGGAGCUGUCCAAAUAAUUCAGUAGGAUGUCACAUCGGAAUAUGUAGAAGAGCUGUCGAAAAUAAAAGUGGCAAAGUCUAUACAAAUUGCCAUCCCAGACAAAUGGGCAAAAUGAGAAAAUUCAGGGUAUAGUAUCGGUUUGAGGGAUGUGGUAGCAGAGUAUUCAAGAAUACCGCCAGAUAAUUGUCUAAGAACUCAGGAAGAAGGCUGAUUCUUGUUUAGGGUAAACUAUGAGAAUUAUUUGUCCGAUGAAAAGAUGUUUCCUCAUUCUAACAAUGAAGUACAACUUUUCUAGCCUAAUUCAAUUUGCUGGAUAUAUAUACAGUCGGCAGCUUUCAAUAAAAAUCCUUGACUUAUAUAAUUGGUGUCUCUCUUAUAGAGUUUUGAUAGGUUCCGAUGAUGCUUCCUUAGGUUCCUUUUCUUAUACAAAUCUAUUUUCCAGCAGCAUGCCCUAUCCUACCUUAGUUCCAUAAUAGUCCAUGAUGAUGCCCACGGUUUUAAAACUAUACCAAAGGAAUAAUAGCGAAUUAAUCUUUCUUUACUUUUUGUCUCCAUAACUGUUGUUACUGAUCAAAACAGUAAACAAGAAAAUAGAAAACCAGAAGCUAUAUUUUUCAUAUGAGGAAGAGAAGCGCAGAGAAACAGAACACAAACUUGCAUACGUCUGUUCUAAAGGAAACUGUCAAGUACAGAACAACUUAAACAAAGCAAAAACUGCUCACGUACGUGCAACACAUAACUGCACACAAACGUGCUAUUAACUUCCUAGAAAAUAACAAAAACACUAAAUAAAUAACUAAAUUGAACUUGGCUGUUUUUUAAUAAAAAAAAAGGAGUAAAACAGAGCAGAAAACAGAGUAAAAAAAAAAAGAGAACAAAACAGAAAACAGCAACUUGAGACAUUAUAAUCCAACAAACUCCUCCUUGGAUCAGUUGCUGCUGCAUACUCCAAUUUUCUUUCUUAAUACUUCAAAUCUUCCAGCUUGAAGUGGUUUUGUGAACAUGUCUGCAAGCUGAUCUUCAGAUUUGCAAUAGACCAACUUAACUUCGCCACUUUGUUGCACCUCACGCAGAAAGAAAAAUUUGACUUUGAAAUGCUUGGUUUUGCCAUGGAAAACUGGAUUCUGUGAUAUUGCUAAAGCAGCCUGAUUAUCCACAUUAACUUCAAUGCAAUCACUAGGAUUCAACCACAGAUCCUUCAUUAUCUUCUUCAGCCAUAAAGCUUGAUUUGCAGCUGUAGUAGCUGCUAUAAACUCAGCCUCUGCAGUAGACUGAGCUACAAUUUCUUGCUUUUUAGAACACCAAGAGAAACAAGCAGAACCAAGACUGAAACAAUACCCAGAUGUACUUUUCAUGUCAUCCACUGAACCAGCCCAGUCACUAUCAGAAAAUCCUUGCAAAUUAAACUUCUGACCUUUUUCAAACUUCACACCAAAGAACAAUGUUCCUUUGAGAUAUCUCAAGACCCUUUUUGCUGCAAUUAAAUGUAACUGACUAGGACUACUCAUAAACCUAGAUAAAACACUCACAGCAAAUAGAAUAUCUGGUCUGGUUGCUGUAAGAUACAUGAGACACCCAAUCAGACUUCUAUACAUAGAAGCAUCUACUGCAUCAGUUCCAUCAUUCUUCUGCAGCUUCUCUUUAGCAGCCAUAGGAGUGCUUACACUUCGACAAUCUUCCAUCUGAAACUUCUUUAGAAUUUCUUUCAUGUAUUUUUUCUGACAGAUGAAGAUCUCAUAUGAAGCCUGUUUGACUUCCAAACCCAAAACGUGACAUCUUUCCCNNNNNNNNNNNNNNNNNNNNNNNNNNNNNNNNNNNNNNNNNNNNNNNNNNNNNNNNNNNNNNNNNNNNNNNNNNNNNNNNNNNNNNNNNNNNNNNNNNNNACUAAUAGAUCAUCUACAUAAAGUGACAGAAUUACAACACUGUGAUUUACCUUUCUUGACAUAAAGAGUGAACUCACUUAAGCUUUUCACAAAGCUAAAAUCUUGCAAAUAUCGAUCUAUCUUCCCAUACUAAGCUCUUGGAGCCUGCUUCAGUCCAUAUAGAGCUUUCUUCAACCUGUAUACACUCUCUUCUUGCCCUUUGAUACUAAAGCCUUCAGGUUGUUCAACAAAAAUUUCCUCAUCAAGCUCUCCAUUCAGAAAUGCAGACUUGACAUCUAACUGAAAUAUAGGCCACCCCUUCUCUGCUGCAAUAGCUAACAGUAGCCUUAUUGUAUCAAGUCGUGCAACAGGAGCAAAUGUUUCAGAAUAGUCUACUCCCCAUAUUUGUGCAUAACCUUUCACCACCAGUCUAGCUUUGUGUUUAUUAACAGAACCAUCAGGAUUAAGUUUUGUUCUAAACACCCACUUAACCCCAAUCACAUUCUUAUCAGAUGGUCUGUCAACGAGCUCCCAUGUGUGGUUUUUCUGGAUCAUUGAAAUCUCCUCCUGCAUUGCUGCAAUCCACCUCUGAUCCUCCUUAGCUUCCACAAGGUUAGAUGGUUCGGGCAUUGCCACAUUGCUUCUUUCAUAGAUUUCAGCAAGUGACCUUGUGCCUCUCACUGGUAAAUCAUCAACACUGUAUUCCAAUCCAUCUAUAACUUUAUCAACUUCUACAUCUGUUGCAGGUUGUUUUUCGAACUGUUGCUGUUCUGCACUCUUUCCAUCCAUCCAAUUCCACUCAUCUUCCUCUAGAAAAACAACAUCUCUGCUUACAGUCACCUUUCUUGUCAUAGGGUGAAAAAUCCUGUAAGCCUUUGAUUGAAGACUAUACCCGAUGAAGAUUCCAAGCUCUGCCUUCUUAUCCAGCUUGUCCCUCUUGACCUCAGGAACAUGAGUAUAACACAAACACCCAAAAACCUUCAAAUUUUUCACAAAAGGUUUAACACCAUACCAGACUUCAAAAGGUGUUGACCUCUCUAAGGCCUUUGUGGGCAAUCUGUUCAACAAGAACACUGCGGUAUUAGCUGCUUCAGCCCAGAACUUCUUAGGCAACAUCUUCUCCUGCAUCAUACAUCUGGCCAUCUCCAUAAUACUUCUGUUUUUCCUCUCACUGACCCCAUUCUGUUGAGGUGAAUAGGGAGCAGUGAACUGCUGCACAAUUCCUGCUUGCUCACAAUUCAACUUAAACUUAUGAGCAGUAUACUCAGACCCAUUAUCAGACCUGAGCAUUUUAAUUUUCUUCCCACUCUGAUUCUCAACUAAGGCUUUAAACUUCACAAACACAUCAGCAACUUCAGACUUGGCUCGCAGAAAAUAAAUCCAACUCAUCCUAGUCAUAUCAUCAGUGAAGGUAAUGAAAUACCUGCUACCAUUGAGAGAAGACUCAGACAUAGGUCCACAUAAAUCUGUGUGGACUAAUUGCAGCUUUUCACAUGCUCUCCAGCCUCCUCCUUGAAAGGAAAUCUGGCUUGCUUGCCAAGAAGNNNNNNNNNNNNNNNNNNNNNNNNNNNNNNNNNNNNNNNNNNNNNNNNNNNNNNNNNNNNNNNNNNNNNNNNNNNNNNNNNNNNNNNNNNNNNNNNNNNNNNNNNNNNNNNNNNNNNNNNNNNNNNNNNNNNNNNNNNNNNNNNNNNNNNNNNNNNNNNNNNNNNNNNNNNNNNNNNNNNNNNNNNNNNNNNNNNNNNNNNNNNNNNNNNNNNNNNNNNNNNNNNNNNNNNNNNNNNNNNNNNNNNNNNNNNNNNNNNNNNNNNNNNNNNNNNNNNNNNNNNNNNNNNNNNNNNNNNNNNNNNNNNNNNNNNNNNNNNNNNNNNNNNNNNNNNNNNNNNNNNNNNNNNNNNNNNNNNNNNNNNNNNNNNNNNNNNNNNNNNNNNNNNNNNNNNNNNNNNNNNNNNNNNNNNNNNNNNNNNNNNNNNNNNNNNNNNNNNNNNNNNNNNNNNNNNNNNNNNNNNNNNNNNNNNNNNNNNNNNNNNNNNNNNNNNNNNNNNNNNNNNNNNNNNNNNNNNNNNNNNNNNNNNNNNNNNNNNNNNNNNNNNNNNNNNNNNNNNNNNNNNNNNNNNNNNNNNNNNNNNNNNNNNNNNNNNNNNNNNNNNNNNNNNNNNNNNNNNNNNNNNNNNNNNNNNNNNNNNNNNNNNNNNNNNNNNNNNNNNNNNNNNNNNNNNNNNNNNNNNNNNNNNNNNNNNNNNNNNNNNNNNNNNNNNNNNNNNNNNNNNNNNNNNNNNNNNNNNNNNNNNNNNNNNNNNNNNNNNNNNNNNNNNNNNNNNNNNNNNNNNNNNNNNNNNNNNNNNNNNNNNNNNNNNNNNNNNNNNNNNNNNNNNNNNNNNNNNNNNNNNNNNNNNNNNNNNNNNNNNNNNNNNNNNNNNNNNNNNNNNNNNNNNNNNNNNNNNNNNNNNNNNNNNNNNNNNNNNNNNNNNNNNNNNNNNNNNNNNNNNNNNNNNNNNNNNNNNNNNNNNNNNNNNNNNNNNNNNNNNNNNNNNNNNNNNNNNNNNNNNNNNNNNNNNNNNNNNNNNNNNNNNNNNNNNNNNNNNNNNNNNNNNNNNNNNNNNNNNNNNNNNNNNNNNNNNNNNNNNNNNNNNNNNNNNNNNNNNNNNNNNNNNNNNNNNNNNNNNNNNNNNNNNNNNNNNNNNNNNNNNNNNNNNNNNNNNNNNNNNNNNNNNNNNNNNNNNNNNNNNNNNNNNNNNNNNNNNNNNNNNNNNNNNNNNNNNNNNNNNNNNNNNNNNAUCACAUCUCAUGAUCCUUGUGAAGAUAGUGGGUGAAACAGCAGCGUACAGGCAUGACUUUGCCUUGGCCUUCCUUGUGAUUCUCUCUUUAUGGUACUUUAUCUGAUUCAAAGUUGGAUUCUUUGGAAGUGGAGCAACCUCAUAAUAAUCCUCCACAGCUUCCCACAAAUCAUGACCCUCCAAAAAUGCCGUCAUCUUGACAGCCCAUGCUUGAUAAUUCUCUCCAGUAAAUACUGGAGAAGCCAUCGCAGAGAAACCACUCGACCCUGUCUCCAUCACCCUUUAACUUCUUUACACUUCGAUACUUGCUUCACUUCACAGUCCCUCAAGAUCAUACAUGCUCUGAUACCACUGUUGUUACUGAUCAAAAUAGUAAACAAGAAAAUAGAAAACCAGAAGCUAUAUUUUUUGAGAUGAGGAAGAGAAGCGCAGAGAAACAGAACACAAACUUGCAUACGUCUGUUCUAAAGGAAACUGUCAAGUACAGAACAACUUAAACAAAGCAAAAACUGCUCACAUACGUGCAACACAUAACUGCACACAAACAUGCUAUUAACUUCCUAGAAAAUAACAAAAACACUAAAUAAAUAACUAGAUUGAACUUGGCUGUUUUUUAAUAAAAAAAAAAACAGAGUAAAACAGAGCAGAAAACAGAACAGAAAACAGAGUAAAAAAAAAGAGAACAAAACAGAAAACAGCAACUUGAGACAUUAUAAUCCAACAAUAACUUCAACCAGCUUGCAACAUUACUAAGUGAUAUUGAUGAUAUGAUCUCCUAUGGUUUUGACAAACUAGAUUGACUUCGCUUUGCAAGAAAGAGUUGACGCUUUGAAAGAGAACAGAGCAUCGUCGAAGAAGGUUUUAGAGAGAGAAAGAUGGAGAAGGAGAGAUAAGCGGUGAUUUGGUGAUGGCGGAAGCAACAGAGGCGGAGGCGACGACGUGGUUUGCCGGACAAGAGAGAGAAGAACUCGGCCGUAAGUCGGGAGGAAACGAAAGAGCAGAUAAUAGAGAGGGGUGAGAGAGUCUUUCAGGGGGACUUUCAGAUUUCUGACAUUGAGCCUGCGGAUGACAUGUGUACAAUAGUCACCUCGAAUUUAGAUCUAAAUAUUUGUUAGCUUUGGUAAAUUAGAUUCUUCCUACAUUGACAAAGAUUUGCGUUCACUUUUCUCAAUGGACCAACUCUACAACCAUAUAUUCUCAACAUAUUAUUUUGACAAAUUUUAUUACAUUCAUUUUCACAAGCAAAGCGUUAGCUCUAGAGCUAGCAAUAAAUAAAGGUCAUACAAGUGAGUAAUGAGUCCUUCGGGAAGUACAUUUUGAGGAUUCUUAAUGAAGAUAUGUUUAACCAAUGAUUACAUAUGAGGCAAAAAAGGCAUUGCAUUUGAUAAAACCUACAAAGCUUCUUUGGAAUGACUACAUAUAAAGCAAAAAAGUCAUUGCAUCUGAUAAAACCUACAAAGCUUCUCUGGUUUCUUAAUAAGUGUCCUAUGACACUCAUCAAUAAAAUUCUAAGAAUUAAAUGAAGAAAUGAGGUUGGUUGCAAAACAUUUUACAAAAAACGAAAGAGGAUUCUAGAUCUGCAUCAACGUGACUUAUAUGUAAAUCUCUUUCAAAUAGGUAGAUAAGGCUUAAAAUCAAUCGGUCAUAUGGUAACUUUGAGAGUAGAUGCCAUUAUGCGCUAUAUAUAUUUCAUAUCAACAUUAUACCAGCUUUAAUUUGUUGCGACUCAUUCAUUCCAAGUCUAGGUUCUUUGCACGUCUUCUAUAUCUCACAGGCACUUUCCAGCUCAAUAUUACAAGCUCUCUUUUGAUUGCGGUUUUACUAGAUUGUGAGACAUAAAACCUUAAAAGUCUCUUGAGGAGUCUUUUCCUCUAUGGUACUUAUGUGGUGUGUUCUAUUCUAUAUGCUUUAGAUUUUCUAGGGAAACAUUGUCGUAUAAAUUGCAACAUAUAUAUUUGUUCACAUUGUUGUUUUCUGCUCCAAAUUUAGAUCUAUUGUGUGUAUAGCAGGGAAAGAAAUCUGUUAGUCUCAUAUAUCUUGUAGACUUCAAUAAUCUAUUGAUUCCUAUAGAUGUUAUUGGGAUUUUCUUUUGUCCUUCAGUCUGAACGACUAUUGCCAAUUCAUGCACUCUGGUGCGUCCAGAGCCUUUUUUCUUUUUUUUCCUUUCUGAGGAUAUGUAAGAUUUAGUCCACCAUGAGCUCAGAGUUUGACUGGUCGAAACAGAAGGGAACCUUACAGAAAGAACUACUUAAGAGUUUCAGAAGGACUAACCUUUGAGCGACAACGGAGAAACGUAAGUGGUAUGAGCAGAAAAAGGACCAAAACUCAAUAAUCUAAGUUACAACGAAGGACAAGACUUUCACGACAAGCCUUUGACUAAUGAACAGACAAGAUAAUUUUGUCAUUUCUCACUAUCACUCCUAUCUAUUAAGAAGCAAAUGAACCCGAUGUCACCAGUUGUCGCAUGAGGAUAACUAGCCCACCGUUGGAAUCAAGUGUGACUUUCCUCGAGGUAAAUUUUAUCAACCAUAAAAGCCUGAUGAAUAUUUUUAGUUAAUUAAUGGAAGAACUUUCCCUUUAGAUGGUCUUCUUCGUUCUUAAUUUAGACUACCAUUCUCAGGUCCUUCUAAUUGAGGUUUGAUUCAGAAUCAUUUCCCUAGUAGGCUGAAUGAUGAAGUGUCUUUCACAGUUUCACUCGUAGUGUUCAAAUUGGGUGCUACAGAAUUCUCGGAUACUGAAGUGAGCACUAUUCGAGCAAGCACCGGCAAGGUUGUCUGUUGCCACUUUUCAUCAGAUGGGAAACUGCUUGCUACUGGUGGACAUGAUAAGAAGGUAAGUGCGGGCAUAUACGUAGACAUGAUGAUAUGUUGUUGUCUGCCAUAGUCUGAUUUGGGAUGGUUAAAUUUCUGGAUUAUGCAGGCUGUACUCUGGUAUGCAGAUACUUUAAAGCCAAAAGCAACUCUGGAAGAACAUUCUUCUUUGAUCACAGAUGUUCGAUUUAGUCCAACCAGGCAUCGCGUGGCAACGUCUUCUUUUGACAAAACCGUCAGAUUCUGGGAUGCUGACCAUGUUGGUGAAUAUAAUAUCUCAUCGACACUGGUGUUUUCUAGAUUUUUCAAGUUGGUGAAUAUAAUAUCUCAUCGACACUGGUGCUUUCUAGAUUUUUCAAUUACUUUUGUUUUUGACGUGUCUGACUAUAGGUAUUUGUUUAUUUGUUUGUUUAUUUGUUUUUUUGUUUUUUGUUUUUUGUUUUUUGUUUUUGUUUUUGUUUUUUUUUUGUUUUUUUUUUUGUUUGUUUUUUGUUUUUUGUUUUUUGUUUUUGUUUUUGUUUUUGUUUUUUUUUUCUGGAAAGAACAAUCUAAUGAAAGCUAUUUUUACACGUACCCUGGAAAGUUAACGUAGAACAUGAUCUCCACUUGUAGCUCCAAGCAAGCUGAUGUACUGGCAUGGGUUAAUUGACAGGACUCUGAAUUUUAGUUACUGCAUGAUGGUGAAGGGUGAAGAAGUAGGUAAUCUGUCCCUUAGAGCUGACCACAGAAGAUUUUGGUCUUUUAGAGGAAUGGAGCAAGACUUUAAAUUAAAGCUGGUCACCUGUUUUUUUUUUUUUUUUUUGGUGAACGGUAUUAAAUAUAUGAGCUGAGACCAAAUGUACAAAAUAUCACGGUAUCAAAACUUACACUCAAUACGACAGAUUAUAAUGAGUGGAAGGAUGCCAGGAUGUAAAAGCCACCGCCGUGGCAACCAAAAUAGAAUAACACAAAGGAAAAGCACGGCAUGAACAACCGGCGUCUAGAGCAAAACACACACAGUUAGGGAAGAGAACAACCACAACAACCAUCAAACGCCGCUGCUCCCAAGUCCAAAGCCAACAAGCACUAGCUGAAUGGAAGGCAACUAGGGAUUCUCAGAGGAGAUGACUGGGUCAAUGCCCCAGCUUCGCUAUAGUCUUCUAUUCAGUUAUCUUCGACGUUCCUAAAAGUGAUCGCCUUGUCUCUGACCACUUUAAGAAGAUAAUCUUCAUAGCCGGUACAGGAAGAGGCUGUUCUUUAAAAAGAAUGUUGUUCCUGUUUUUCCAAAUAAUAUGACAUAGUGCUCCAAAGGAAAAACGAGCUAUGCACUUAUAAAAUUCCUUUCCCAUAAGCAAGGUGGUGACCAAACGAAGUUCUCCUCCCAAGACCUGUUAUGUCAAGGCAGAUUGCAUUUAGCCGCCCAAAAGAAGGCAACCCCAGCCAUGACACUACGACCAAAAAAUAAAUGGUCGAUAGAAUCCAGCACAUCAUUGCAGAAGGCACAAGCACCACUAUCAAUUCUGCCAUGAGACAAUAAAAGCGUCUGGGUGGGUAGCCUGCACUUGGCCAUAAGCCAAAGGUUUACUUGAUACCGUGGUGUAAUUGCAUUUUUCUAGACAAACGCAUGCCAAUGGACUCGAGUCCUCUUCCGCCUGAAGGUCUCCCAAGCCAACGCAACAGUGAACCGGCCUAACGAACUCUCCCUCUAACAAAAGCAAUCUGAGUUCUAAGAGAGGCUCGGGAGUGGGUGAUCCCACGACUGAAGCACCAACCUGAGAGGCUGCCCAGCAUAAGAGAAAAGAUCAGCCACUAUUGCUUGCCUAGAAAGCCCGGAACUAUAGAUGAUGAAAUCUGAAAAGAUUAAGUUCAGGGGACCCUAGGGUGCCAGUUGUCAAACCAAAGAGAGGGAGAGAGGCCAUCCCCAAUCCUUCAAUAGAAAUGAGUUUGUGGUCGAUUUUAGGUUCAUAGCCCUAAUAGGAGUUGCCAUUGUUUUAAAAUUUGAACAUUGAAAAUUUGGGAACAUAUAUUAUAUUGAGUCGAUAUUAUGAAUAUAUCGCUCAAAUGUCCAUGUGAAUGGUUAUGCAAUCCGACUCUUGUUUACAACCUAGAGAGUUGCUUCAAAAUGUCAAGUUCUCUGAAUUCCAACACUUGCUUACAUGAGAUGAUUGUCUCCUCUUAUUACCCUUGAAGCCGGAAUUCCAGAGCCUGCUGGUAUUGAUAAAUUCUGCCAUGGGCACUCUCUUGUGAUAAUGAUCAAGUGUAGAUUUGGCUACUUCCUUCAUAGAUCAUUUUGAAAGCAUUCUCUUCGGAGCUCAUUGAAUUGCUGUUUUUCGAGUGCAGCCUUUUGUGGCAUUUGUUGUGUGGCUUUUAUAUGAAAUGAUGUCUGUAACUAUUAGGAUUGUAUUUAUCCUUCUUGGCUUUUAUGCAUUCUUUUGGAAGCUCAAUGUCGAGGUUCCUUCAUUUUACCCUGAUAAUGAUCAUGUUUUAAGAGUUUCCUGUGUCGGUAGUUGUUGGUCAAUGUAGAGGGCAAAUUCGCAUGUGACCUUGCUAAGAUUUAUUUGACUGUCUCCAUUUUGUUCCCUAGUGGUAGUAUGCAUUUAGCUUCACUUUUGUUGGCUUUAUGUUUAAUGUCAGUGUGCAUGUGGUAUCAUCAAUGGAUCAUUUGUUCAUUUCAGGCUUGUUAUUCUCUUUGGACUUUUAUGGGGCGUUCUUCUGGUGUUAUGUCUCUGGAUUUCCACUCAAAUAAAGAUGAUCAUAUCUGCUCUUGCGAUGGGGAUGGUGGGAUGAGAUACUGGAGCAUUAAUAACAGCAGCUGUUUGAGGGUAUUCAGGAUACAAAUCAAUAUGAAUUACCAUGCUAAUCGUGUUGUUCCUUGUGGGUUUUAAUGAGAUGGUGCAUCAAGUGCAUCUCGGUUCUGUAAAAACAUAUAACUUAUGUUGCUUGUGAAUCAGGGUGGCACAGACCAUUUGAGAUUCCAACCACGUCUCGGAAGGUAUCUUUCUGCAGCUGCAGAUAAUGUUGUAUCUAUGUUGGAUGUAGAGACACAAGCGUACAGGCAAACUUUGCAGGUUGAAUUUUUAGUAACUUCUUCCUUUUUAUUUGGUCUAGUCAAAUGGGGAUUUUUAUUGGUUGGAAAAAGGGGAUAUUGUUGCUGAGUGAAUGAGUGUCUUACUCUAGUAGGAAUGAUUGAAUGUUGUCAUUCCUCUUGGAUCUGCAACUACCUUUCCAGAUUUUGUGCCAUUGAACAGCUUGCUACUGAUGGCUGUAGCUCAUGCUCUGUUAUUGUGUUGAAAUUUGAAAUGACAAUAUGUUUUGUUUCUCUUAGCAUUAGAAGAAAAGCUAUUAUUUCAUGUCUCUGCCAAAAUCUUACUGUUGCGAUGGGAGAUAUUUUGUUUUUUAUGCUAGGGUGUAUUGGUGAACCUAUUGGCUUGCUGGAUAUAUCUGAGUCAACUUGCCUUAAUAAAGUAGCAUUUUCCCAGGUCUAGGUUUGAGGCACAAUCCAGUUGACAAAUGACAUUAGGAAAAAAGUUGGUCAUCUAAGCUUGUCAUCUUUUUAUCUGCUGUGUCUAAGUAUAUAACAUUCAUGCAUGUCAACAUUUACGGAUGCUAUUUUAAUGAGGCGAUUAGUUUCAAGGUGUAUGUCAUCUUUCAGAGCAUUUUAUCCUUAUUGAAAUUGGUACUCAUUCAAUUGCAUGGCCUUUUAAUUCAAGUUGGCCUUUCUAGCCUUUGGGAUAGUAACAAUUAGUACCUUUAUUCUUUUUGGUUCCUGCUUUUUGUAACGUGUUGAUGGUUCCUGCAUGAAUCUGAAUUUUGAUAACAGGGGUAUACUAAGUCAAUUUAUUAUGUGUGCUGGGAUUCUACCGGCGAGUUAAUUGCAUCUGUCAGUUGGGUCUUGUAGUGAAUGGGACUGUGUACAUGAAUUGAGCUGCAAUGGAAACAAGUUCUACUCCUGCGUGUUCCACCCAACUUCUCCUUCACUUUUGGUGAUUGGCUGCUACGAGGUAAGUGGCAUGUUUGAAUUAUUUAUUUUAGCAUUUUAAUGUGAAUUCUAGCUCCAUACCUAGGGGAAGUACGAUAUAAGUCCAUGUUUAGAUGUUCCCAAAUCUUGUGAAUUCUUAGGAUUAUAUAAGAAAUUUCUAGCAAGCUUCUUGGGAUGCUAAUCCGGCUCAUGAGUUUCUAAAAUAUUAAUUGAUUGUCUAAUACAAAUCAGGCGGCUUUCUCACUAUCCUUUGAAGUAGCGAAGGCUGGUUAAUUGGCAAUUUCAGAACCAUAGCUUCUGAAGCAGGCUCUACAAGAGCCAUGGAACAGAAAAAGCUAUGUGCCUUGACUAAAAGUACAAGUCAUGUGAAUAGACUCUUUAGACUUCUAUUGCCCCAUAAGAUCUUGGGUUAACUGUGCUUUGGUCUAAGCUAAUCGAAAAUUCUCUGCAGACCCUGGAGGUUUGGAAUAUGGCCGAGAACAAGACAAUGGCUUUACCGGCUCAUGAGGGACUAAUUUCAGCAUUGGCAGUAUCAAAUGUGACAGGCUUGGUUGCUUCAGCUAGUCACGACAAGACACUGAAGCUGUGGAAGUGAUACUUUGGCAUCCCUAGGUAUUUGUCCUAUGCACUCAGAUUGUAAGACUGAAUUCGCCGUUCCCAUCAAAGUGCAUGCAUCUUGUCCCGUAUCAGUUGCGUCAGUACACCCGGUUGGUGUCGUCUCCCUGAUACUAAUUUAGAGCUUAUCACGAGCGAUGGGAUUUAAAACUUUGUGACAUUUAUUGCUGUUGUACAUCGAGUGAUGACUUCUUUUGUCAAGUUGAAUCUUUCUGCGAAUGCUUCAGUGACAUGUAAUGUUUGGCCUUUCCUUAAAGAAGGAAAUGUUCUCAGGUAGGACGCUACAUCAAUAAUUGACGUGUUCUUUCCUUUGGUACUUAUGCCAUGUCUCUCUUACUCGAACUUUGAUGUCAUUUAAUUUUUUGGUCAGAUUGAAAUUCUCAUUGUCGGUUUCAUUCUCAUUCUCAUCAACUUAGAACGCAUGACAAUAUUUCUAUUUUUCUAUUUCUCUAUUCCCUAAAACAGAUUUGGAACAGAAAUCAAUUUGAUAACGUAAUUUUAUUUUUCUAUUUCUGGAACAGAUUUCUAUUCAGAAAUAGAUUUUGAGUAGAAAUCAAAGAUUAAAACUUUUAACUUUUCUAUUUCUGAGAAAUCAAAACUUUCUUCAUUAUUCACUCUCAUCAUUGCUCGUCACCCACCCACCGCUUGCGGGAUGCCGAAUGCCUGCCGCUAGUUGCGGGCCACUCGCCACCGGCCUCGGCAAUCAGCCGCUCGCCAUUGACUGUUGGCCACCAGAUGCCGAUCGCUAGCCACCGGACUCCAACCGCCCGUCAUUGACCGUUGGCUGCCGAAUGUUGGACACCCGUCGGUCGUUGGCCACUCAUCGCCAACCAUUGGACACCAGAGGAAAUCAUUUUAAUGUGGUUGACAUGUUGAGAGGCAAGAACUCUUUUCUUGUAAUAGCUGUGUACGCAUAUGUAGCAAUUAAGGCGUACUACUAAAUUGCUAUAGUAAACAUGUUUUGCAUGAUGCGGUGAAUGCACCGUCGGCACGCCUCGUAUUCAUAGAUACAUAGUGGUACUAUGUAUUGUAUUGCUGUGGAGUGAAAAUGCUAGAAGCUGCUGUAGAUGUAACUUGUUUUCAGCGGAACUAAUGGCAAUUUGCAAGUAUGCGUUGCUCGUCUGAAAUGCUGUUCUCAUGGUGAUAUCAAAUUCUCCCCCAGUUCUAUGCUCUUCAUGGGGCCAAGCCACAGAAACAUGAUGAAGAUAAACAUGCCAACCUGGGCUUGAAUCUCUGUGUCUCUCUCAUUGCGGGCGCACGCCCGCCUGCCUCUGGUUUGGUCGGAACUGUUUAUUUUUGUGACUUUCCUG
Molecule: long non-coding RNA, 48627 nt
Filed under: Eucalyptus grandis
Lineage: Eukaryota; Viridiplantae; Streptophyta; Magnoliopsida; Myrtales; Myrtaceae
Description: long non-coding RNA (EGRA_LNC001785)
Source: RNAcentral